UGUCUUUUUUUGUAGUGAGUACUCCUCUGACCAAACCAGAUGCCUCAAGCUUAUUAAUCUCCUCGGCAAUGAGCUGCUGCCACUCAAAGGCCUGCUUCUGCACCUUUUGCUUGACGGGUCGGGCAUGUGGGCAGACAACAAGGUGGUGCUCAAUUACCUCCCUGGAAACACCGGGGAUAUCAGAUGGUUGCCAGGCAAACACAUCGAUAGUCGCCCACAGGAAGGCAAUGAGCGCGCUUUCCUAUUUUUCAUCAAGGGUGGCGCUGAUAGUAAAAGUACCAUCAACACCAUCCAGCCCUGCCGGGACCUUCUUCACAUGGGGUGCAGCAGCCUUGGCCCUCUUGCUGUUGGAACACUCCGGCACGUCAUCAACGGGUAUCGUGCACUCGGUAGGGGCACGCUUCCCGGAUUCCUUGCCAAAGUCCCUACAAUCCUUCUUCUUUCCUUUACUUUCCUUGGCGGGCACCGCUGCUUCAGGAGCCUCUAUCGCGAUAGCGUUCUGAUACAUCUUAUCCAUGCAUAUCAUCACAUCUUUCUUAUCUUAUGGAAUGGAAAUGACGCCCAUUGGGUCUGACAUCUUCAAGGUGUUGUAGGCAUAGUGGGAUGCCGCCAUGAACUUGUCCAGGGCAGGGCGCCCAAGAAUUCCAUUGUAUGGCAGGGGAAGGUCGACCACAUCAAACACAAUCUUCUCAGUCCGGUAGUUCAACUCACCCCCAAACGUCACCGACAAUGUGAUCUUUCCCUUAGGAUGGCUCCUGCCGGGAUUAACUCCUUGAAACGUGCCAGUGGCCUUAAGCUCUUCUUUUACUCUCUGAAGCUCGCUGAGAACAUGUGGGGAGAUCAGAUUCAACCCAGCCCCGCCAUCAACUAACAUCUUUGUGACCCUGAGGUUGCAGAUUGUUGGGGAGACCAACAACGGCAGGCACCCCACCGCAGUGGUGCGGUCAGGGUGAUCCUCCUCAUGAAAGAUGAUGGGCAUGUGUGACCAUUUGAGUGGUUUCCAUGAAGUUGCCGCUGGCUCCACGACAUUGACUUCACGCGCCCAUUGCUUAUGUUGGCGGUGAGAGGAGUGCAAAGAUGCACCCCCCCGUCAAUGCACAAGGCGUCGGUGGCCUUCUGGAAUUCCUGCUCACUAGUUUCCUCUUCAUCCCCUUCAUCACUUCCAGCAUCAUUAUCCUCCUUCUCUCUGUCCCUCACGGGUUUCCCUUGGUUCCAAGGAGCUUUGCUAGGGCAAUUUGCUUCACCGCCCCGGCCCUUACCGCCAGUAUUAUUCUGACCUCUCUCCGUAUCUCGCUUCUCAUACUCAGCCCUCUGCUUCUUGACGAGCUACCCAACUUGAUGACACUCCUGGAGAUUGUGUCCCUUGGUCCGAUGGAUCUUGCAGUAUGACCCAUCACUCUUUCUAGCUUUCUCGGCAGCCGCGGCCUCCCGGCAGUCAGCGCACGCGGCAACUUCCUUGCUGGGGGCUUCGGCUUUUGCCUUCUUUCUAGUACCAGGUGUGCCCAAUCCCUCAACGGUCAUCACUACCAUAUCCUUACACUUCUUGUUGUGCUUCUUAUUCUUCUUCUUCUGGCUAGUGGUCUUAUCGUCAUUUUCUGAGUCGUUGUCGAUGCAAUCCUCCUCUCCGGGAAGCUUCCUCCCUUCCUCCACCCGAGCACAUUUGUCCACCAAAGUGUACAGCUCCUUCACAGUCUUGGGAAGCUUGACGUUCAUCUUGGAAUGUAUCCUUUGGUUGCGCACAUUAGACUGAAAGGAGGCUAUCACAGCUGUCGGGUGGAUAUCUAGGAUAUUACUGUGAACUCUGUUCAACCUUUGCAAGUACUUCCACAGAGUUUCUCCUUCUUUCUGCUGGAGGAGCUGCAAAUCGCUGGGCCGCCCUGGUUCUUGAUGGCCCCCCGUGAAGGCACCAAUUAACUCAUGUCACAGGUUAGCCCAGAAUGAGAUGGAGUUCUCCGGCAAGUGCAUCAACCAAGACCUUACGUUAGACUUAAGUGCCAAAGGGAAAUAAUUGGCAAAUACCUUCUCAUCUCUUCCUCCGGUAGCCUGAACAGCGAAGGUGUAGAUGCUCAAGAACUCUGCUGGGUUCAAUCUUCCAUCAUACUUCUCAGGUAUCUCUGGCUUGAACGUGCGAGCGGACGGCCAACGGACUUGCCAUAGCUCAUGGGUGAAGGCAGGGCACCCGACCUCGGAAGGUAGGUACCCGCCAUCUCUGAGCAUGGGCUCAUUGACGUUGAGGCCAUCGUAACCGUUGGGUUGUAGGUAGACGUCACGACGCCGUACGGUGACUACGCGCGCGGCUUCUCUCCGCCUGUCCUCCGGGGCCCACCGUGGUUCUUGCCAUGCUUGAGGAUCAGAGGAAGCCAUCGAUACGUCGUCGGCCUCUUGGAUACGUGGCUCUCAUACAGCCUACCGAGGUGGGGACUACACCGUGGGAGCAGCCCCUUCUAUGCGGCUAGCUGCACAAGCCGUUGUCAUUGCCUGGGGAGGCCGAGGCGGGCUAGUCCGCUAAGAUCCUCCUGCCUCAGCGAAACAAUCAAGCUUUGGAUAGUGGACCGCCACUCGUCCAUCUGAUCAUCUACUGGUGGGAAUCUCAACAGCAACUGGGCCCACGCCAUGGCUUCGGAGGCAGUGCUUGGCAUGGGCGGAGAUGAUGAAGACCGCUGCAUCGCUCGGCUCCUGACGGCACCGGUGGUGACCGCGUCGCGUCCUCACUGCCGUGAGCUAGCCGCUUGGAUAGUGUGGUCACACAACAAAGGCGCUUGAGUGUCAGCGGCCCUGUCGGGCACAGUAGCUGGGCUAGCUUGUUCUGAAGGCGGCAGGUGCCUCGUGGUCAUACCCAUGGCAGGGGCGGCCGGAGGGUUGCGAUUCGCCUCAGAACGAGCGCCGCCACUACGGCUGUGCCCUUUGGCAAGGAGAGAGAGUGCAUGUAAAGUAAUUCCCCCACCCGUACGUCGAGAAGCAUGCCAUUGGGAUCUUGUUGAUGUUGUCCUUCCCUGGCGCUUCUUGCUUCGGUCACGGGGAUAGCGGUGACAACGCCUCCUGCAUCAAUUGCGCCUCCCUGACGUCAACGUCUUCACGUGCCCCCUCAUUUCCUGCGACGUUGGCAGUUGAUAACCCACAAGUAUAGGAGAUCGCAAUAGUUUUUGAGGGUAGAGUAUUCAACCCAAAUUUAUUGAUUCGACACAAGGGGAGCCAAAGAAUAUUCUCAAGUAUUAGCAGUUGAGUUGUCAAUUCAACCACACCUGGAUAACUUAGUAUCUGCAGCAAAGUAUUUAGUAGCAAAGUAGUAUGAAAGUAAUGGUAAUAGUGGCAAAGUAAAGAUAUCGGUUUUGUAGUAAUUGUAAUAGUAGCAAUGGAAAAGUAAAUAAGAAAAGCACAAUAUGUGAAAAGCUCGUAGGCAUUGGAUCAGUGAUGGAUAGUUAUGUCCGAUGUGAUUCCUCAUGUAAUAGUUAUAACAUAGGGUGACACAGAACUAGCUCCAAUUCAUCAAUGUAAUGUAGGCAUGUAUUCCGAAUAUAGUCAUAUGUGCUUAUGGAAAAGAACUUGCAUGACAUCUUUUGUCCUACCCUCCCGUGGCAGCGGGGUCCUAAUGGAAACUAAGGGAUAUUAAGGACUCCUUUUAAUAGAGAACCGGACCAAAGCAUUAGCACAUAGUGAAUAAAUGAACUCCUCAAACUACGGUCAUCACCAAGAAGUAUCCCGAUUAUUGUCACUUCGGGGUUGUCGGAUCAUAACACGUAAUAGGUGGCUAUAGACUUGCAAGAUAGGAUCAAGAACUCACGUAUAUUCAUAAAAAUAUAAUAGGUUCAGAUCUGAAAUCAUGGCACUCGGGCCCUAGUGACAAGCAUUAAGCAUAGCAAAGUCAUAGCAAUAUCAAUCUCAGAACAUAGUGGAUACUAGGGAUCAAACCCUAACAAAACUAACUUGAUUACAUGGUAAAUCUCAUCCAACCCAUCACCGUCAAGCAAGCCUACGAUGGAAUUACUCACGCAUGGCGGUGAGCAUCAUGAAAUUGGAGAUGGAGGAUGGUUGAUGAUGAAGACGCCGAUGAAUCCCCCUCUCCGGAGCCCUGAACGGACUCCAGAUCAGCCCUCACGAGAGAGAUUAGGGCUUGGCGGCGGCUCCGUAUCGUAAAACGCAAUGAAACUUUCUCUCUGAUUUUUCUAUGCGAAACAGAAUAUAUAGAGUUGGAGUUGAGGUCGGUGGAGCAUCAGGGGGCCCACGAGAUAGGGGGCGCGCCCCCCACCCUCGUGGACAGGGUGUGGGGCCCCUAGCCUUGAUUCUUUUGCCAGUAUUUUUUAUAUUUUCCAAAAGUUAUCUCUGUGGAUUUUCAGGUCAUUCCGAGAACUUUUAUUUUCUGCACAAUAAAUAACACCAUGGCAGUUCUGCUGAAAACAGCGUUAGCCCGGGUUAGUUUCAUUCAAAUCAUGCAAGUUAGAGUCCAAAACAAGGGCAAAAGUGUUUGGAAAAGUAGAUAUGUUGGAGACGUAUCAACUCCCCCAAGCUUAAACCUUUGCUUGUCCUCAAGCAAUUCAGUUGAUAAACUGAAAGUGAUAAAGAAAAACUUUUACAAACUCUAUUUGCUCUUGUUAUUAUAAAUAUGUAAAGCCAGCAUUCAAGUUUUCAGCAAAGAUUAUGAACUAACCAUAUUCACAAUAACACUUAGGUCUCAUGUUUACUCAUAUCAAUGGCAUAAUCAACUAACGAGCAAUAAUAAUAAAUCUCGGAUGACAACACUUUCUCAAAACAACCGUAAUAUGAUAUAACAAGAUGGUAUCUCGCUAGCCCUUUCUGAGACCGCAAAACAUAAAUGCAGAGCACCUUUAAAGAUCAAGGACUGACUAAACAUUGUAAUUCAUGGUAAAAGAGAUCUAGUGAAGUCAUACCCAAUAUAAACUAAUAGUAAUGCAUGCAAAUGACAAUGUGCUCUCCAGCGGGUGCUUUUUAAUAAGAGGGUGAUGACUCAACAUAAAAUUAAAUAGAUAGGCCCUUCGCAGAGGGAAGCAGGGAUUUGUAGAGGUGCCAGAGCUCGAUUUUGAAAUAGAGAUGAAUAACAUUUUGAGCGGUAUACUUUCACUGUCAACGCAACAACUAUGAGAUGUCGAUAUCUUCCAUGCUACAUACAUUAUAGGUGGUUCCCAAACAGAAUGGUAAAGUUUAUACUCCCCCACCACCAACAAGCAUCAAUCCAUGGCUUGCUCGAAACAACGAGUGCCUCCAACUAGCAACAGCCCUAGGGAAGUUUUGUUUAAUUAUUUUGAUUUGCUUUGAUCUUUUUGAUCAUGGGACUGGGCAUCCCGGUUACCAGCCAUUUUCUCGUGAAUGAGGAGCGGAGUCCACUCCUCUUGAGAAUAACCCACCUAGCAUGGAAGAUACAGACAACCCUAGUUGAAACAUGAGCUGCUCGAGCAUACAAAACAGAAUUUCAUUUGAGGGUUUGGAGUUUGGCACAUACAAAUUUACUUGGAACGGCAAGUAAAUACUGCAUAUAGGAAGGUAUAGUGGACUCAUAUGGAAUAACUUUAGGGUCUAUGGAGUUUGGAUGCAUAAGCAGUAUUCCCACUUAGUAAAGGUGAAGGCUAGUAAAAGACUGGGAAGCGACCAACUGAGAGAACGACAACAGUCAUGAACAUAAUCAACACCGAGUGCAAGCAUGAGUAGGAUAUAAUCCACCCUGAACAUAAAUAUCAUGAAGGCUAUGUUGAUUUUGUUUUCAACUACAUGCGUGAACAUGUGCCAACUCAAGUCACUCGAGUCAUUCAAAGGAGGAUACCACCCUAUCAUACCACAUCACAACCAUUUUAAUAGCAUGUUGGCGCGCAAGGUAAACCAUUAUAAGCUCCUAGCUAAUUAAGCAUGGCAUAAGCAACUAUAAUCUCUAAUUGUCAUUGCUGUCGGAUAUCGGGUUCCGGCAAAACCCUUAAGGUUCAAACUCUGGGGUCCGCACGAAGAUCUUCUCCCUACCGAUCCACGCCCCAAAGCUUCGCCGUGAAUCUAAGCUACACGAUGAACAACACAAGGGACACAAGGUUUAUACUAGUUCGGGCCACUGUUGUGGUAUAAUACCCUACUCUAGUGUGUGGUGGUGGAUUCCCUCUAGGGCUGAUGAUGAAAAGUACAGAGGAAGAACAGCCUCGUGAGGGGUGUUCUUGAGCUGGUGGGUUUGGAGAGGAAUGGCUCCGUCUUUGUUGGCUAUCGGUCCGAUCUCUCGAUCCCCUCUCUACUAUGGUGGCUAUCUCUAUUUAUAGAGGCCUUGGUCCUCAUCCCAAAUAUUGCGGGAAGGGAGCCAACAACGGCCAUUUUGAAGGUGGGCAACUAGUACAAUUUAUCCUGACUAAAGUUGGUCUUCGACUGCCAAAGGCACUGGCAAUUACGCCGUCUUGGGCUCCACGGUGACCUCCGUCCUGCCGCUCUGCUGGUCUUGGUCCCGUUGCACCGAUAUGGCAACCUUUGCUUGAUGCCUCGGUACUCCGCGCCUGCGCUUGCCCCCUUUGCACCAAAGAGGAAGCGAGGACACUGCGCUGGCUGGCGCCCGCCUGGUCUCGAUCGUCAUGGCCUGCGUCAUGAGCACUGUCGGUGUCAAAACCGGCGGAUCUCGGGUAGGGGGUCCCGAUCUGUGCGUCUUAGGCUGAUGGUAAUAGGAAGCGAGGGACACAAUGUUUACCCAGGUUCGGGCCCUCUCGAUGGAGGUAAAACCCUACUUCCUGCUUGAUUAAUAUUGAAGAUAUGUGGAAUACAAGAGUUGAUCUACCACGAGAUCGUAGAGGCUAAACCCUAAGAGCUAGACUAUGAUGGUAUGUUUGUAAUUGUGAUUGGCCUUCUAAGGACCAUGCUCUCCGGUUUAUAUAGACACCGGAGAGCUAGGGUUUACAUGGAGUCGGUUUACAAGGAAGGAAACAUAAUAUCUGGAUCGCCAAGCUUGUCUUCCACGCGAAGGAGAGUCCCUUACGGACACGAGCCAAAGUCUUGAGUCUUGUAUCUUCACGCUUCUAUAGUCCGGACGAUGUAUAUAGUCCGGCUGUCCGGAUACCCCCUUAUCCAGGACUCCCUCAGUAGCCCCCGAACCAGGCUUCAAUGACGAUGAGUCCGACGCGCAGUCUUGUUUUUGGCAUUGCAAGGCGGGUUCCUCCUCCGAAUACUCCAAGGUUAUUAUCGAACACGCAGGUCGUGUCCAGAUCUGCAAAAUGAUCUUCACAUACCACCGUAGGGAAAAUGAUACUUCAGCUGACAACUUUUUAGACGACGGGAUAUGUCAUUACGGUCAGGUUAUUAUUCGAACCGUUUUUCCCACAACCAACCAUAGCGUAUACUGCGAGGCGGUUUCCUGAGCACGUCUUGUCGAAGCGAAGAUCGUGUCCCCUUAUCACGAGAUUCUCAUCAAUACGGGUAUGGGUAAUCCAACCGUACCGCUAAUCGCAGCGAGCGGGAGGCGAGCGGGUUCCACCAGGCAAGUGGGGAGGCACGAAAAGCUCUUACCUUCUCUUAUAAAGAGAUAGGGCAUCUUCCUCUUUUACCCACGCCUUCUCCUUCUGCUAACUCACUUCCCUCUGCUCGAGCCCUAACGCCCGAGCGCCUUUCUUUUCCAUUGAAGAGAGGGUUUCCAAAGAUGUCCGGAUCUGGAGCAGGAGGCAAAUGGAUGGCCUCUACCGUCCGGGAGAAGUAUAUCAAGAAGCUCCGGGAAGCCGGGUAUUUGGCCAAGGAGAUUGGCCACCGUCUCCCACCGGCGGGACAGGUUGUCCCUACUCCGGAGCCCCACGAGAGAGUCGUGUUCCUUCCCCAUUUUGUCUGAGGGCUCGGGUUUCCCCUACACCCAUUUAUACGUGGAGUCAUGUAUUACUAUGGGGUUGAUUUUCAUGAUCUUUCCCCCCAACUCUUUUCUCAAUAUCUCGACGUUCAUCGUCGCAUGCGAGGCCUUCCUCCGGAUUCCGCCUCACUUCGGCCUGUGGUUGAAGAUUUUCAAUGUGAAGCCCAAGGUGGUGAGUGGCGAACACGCCGAGUGCGGCGGCGCCAUGGUGAGAAAGAUGCCCAAGGUCGUUUGGCCGAAGGGCACUUUUAACGACUCCGUCAAGGAAUGGCAGCAGUAGUGGUUUUAUAUCACUGAACCAUGCGGCGAAGAAUGGGCAGCAGCUCUUGAGUUCAGAUCCGGAGCUCCGCUGCGGCUUACGUCCUGGCCCAAGAAGGGCCCAAACUAGUGCUCGCCCAAUGAGCUGUCACUGCUCCUGACGCGUGCUCGGAAUAUGGUCGACAAGGACGUCAAGCUUGUUGACGUGGUCCAGGUGAUGCUAGUUUACCUGGUUCUCCCUUGCUAGCGUCGAGCCUGUACUUUAUGGGAAUUCGACCCAUCCGAGCACCAAACCCUCCGAGAGCUCUAUGAUUCCUCCCACAAGGAUAUCUCGAAGGUGCUCUUUAAGUCCAGCAAAUCAUGGCCGAACUCAUCUGAGGAUCGGGGGUAUCAAUUAUCCCAUUCUGCAAGCCCAGUUAGUUAUAGCCACGCCCCCUCCGUCCAGGCUUCAACCGGCAUAUCAUGAGGGGGGCAUUUUAAUCGUGCUUCAUUGUGGCUUUAGGGAUGGAUAAAAAGGGUGGAGCGGAUACAAUGUCCGGCCCCACUGCCGGAGGAACCGGCCGGACCUCUUCUGACAAAGAUGCUGGUCCCUUCACCUUACAAGGCGCCCAAGAAGGAGGCCCCCAAGUAGGUCAAGAAGACCAGGAGUGGCCUCCAUUGUCGCGAGGCUCCAGACACCAGGUCCGAAGGCUCUAGCAACGCUCCUUCUUCCGAAGACGAAGAGGAGGAGGCAGAGGAGGACGAGCCUCGCUCUGCCGACGGGAAGAAGCAUGCAACUGCCCCGUCCCUGGAGGCCGAGUUGCCCAAGAGAAGGUGAGGUUCCCCUCCAGAGGCAUCCACCCCGGCUGCCGAUAACAUCCCGGAGUGGGAUACCGAGGCCCAGCCCCUGAGAAAAUCGUAAGUAACCGAAAUCCAAAUACGCCUAUGUAUUCAGGGUUGUCCGGGUAUUGUAGUUUUAACUGUCGCCACAUCUCGCACAGCCCGGCAAGGUCUCCUGCCGGACAAUCCUCAUCGGAGGAUUCGUUGAGCUCGAAUGCUAUGGCGAGUGAGACGCCUCUGGGGAUUCCUUUUCCAAAGUCCAGGCGCGACACCGAGGUGUCAUCUCAAAGAGACUCGGGGCAGGAUAAAGUUCUGGAGGCCCCUAAGGCUCCAGGAUUGGGCCAGUAGCCAUCCUCCAUGGAGGGAGGUUUGCUUACUCCACUGGCCACCUCAGUAUACGCCGAGCUGUCAGGCGGUCUGUUGAUAGCGUUAAAGAACGCGUCCGUCGUUGAUGAACAUCGGACCCUUAUGGGUGCGGUGGUUGGAAAGAUCCAGGCUGCCGAAAGCGGGCUGAAUGAGUCCUGUCUUGGCCUUAUAAAGGCCUUUGAGGUAUAGUUUCUAAGGAACCUUUAAACAAUUAGUACGAUAUGAGGAGUACCCCUGAUACACUGUCCGGAAAAAGAAAGCCGGGCAGGGGAUCAAAUCCUCAGUUGUAAUGGGAACUUUUAAUGAUGUAUACCCAUCUUUUUGAAAACAGGCGUCUGUGGAGAGGACGGCCGCUCGUGAUGCGGAAGUGUCCGAACUGAAAGAGAGCCUGAGACGGGCCGAAGAAGAACUUGGCCGUGUGAAGAAGCAAUUGGAGGAGAGGCAAGGUAUGUUUGGACAUUGUCUUGCGUUGGGCACAAAUCAAUAAGUGUGCCUAUUUGAAAAGUAUUUAUGUUAUAUGCCCUAGGAGCGAGUGCCGAAUAUGAGGCGCUGAAGAAAGAGGCGGCUGAUGCCCAAGAGAAGGCUGCCGCCGAACAGGCUCUGCGUGAAAAACACGAGGCCAGGGUCGUCAUAGCUGAGCGGGAGCUUCAGGAUGCUAUGACGAAAAGCGAGAGCUUGGAGCAGAGUUUAGUACGGAAAGAAUCCGAACUCGCCCAAGCUCUCCAAGCUGCGGAAGAUGCUCGGGAAGAAGCCCGAGGUGUUGUACGGGACAUUCAGGAGGCCCGGAAAGUUGUGGCUGGUAAGGUCUGUUGUAUCUAUGGCCGUUAUGAUGUUAUAAUAUGGAGAACUCUAAGCGGCAAGCUGAAUUCUUGAUUUUGCAGGGGCGUUUGCGGAUCUGCCUCGUAGCAUAUCAGAUGCGGCCCAAUUUUAUCGGUCCGAGGAGAGGGAGUCUGCGGGGAGGAACUUCUGGUCGCAGUAUCUAGCGCUGAACUAUUCAGUGCCUUUUAUCGAUCACCUGAAGCAGCUGGUCAAACUGCACCAGGCGGCCGAACAGCCAUGAAGGACUUGGUCAUUCGGUUGUGGCCUGCAGAGCCAAUUCCCAGCAGUUUCUUCGGACUCAUUAAGCGGAUUGUGGGCGCAUGUCCUCGGCUUGAUAUUAUCAAGUGAUCAGUCUGUAUAGAAAGUGCGCGAAUGGUGCUUGCCCAUGCAAAAGUGCAUUGGGGGAAGCUUAACACAGAAAAACUGAUAACUAAGGGGCCACCAGAGGGUAAGGAGCAUCGCAAGCCCGAACUGUAUUAUGAAGGUGUAAUGAAGGGUGCCCGCCUGGCAGCGGAUAAGUGCACCAAAGACAUUAUAUUUCCCUGAGGGCAUUUUUGCCAUCGUUUGUAAUAUGGGAUAAUGGCACUUUUAUUAUAUGUUGCCUAUUUGGUUUGAACAUGUGUUCUUCCUUUACGGCUGUUUAUUGUAUAUAAAUUCUGAGAGUUGGCCAGUCAUCGGCUUCAGCCCCCACGAGAAAAGUACGGGGGUGUUCGGGGUAUUUCUGAACACUCUUUAUCCCAUUGUUGGGUCCUUAUAAGGAGGCGUUUCUCACCACGAACCAGGCAAUCGGACUAUAGGGCUUUACUACUCUCACUUAGCCAUAGGAAUUCGAGUAUGGUCGGCGCAGCCCCUUGUGUCCGGAAGGCCAGACUAGGGGCUCUAUUGGCGCCUGAUCGGUAGACCGAUCCGUUGCAAUCUACAUUUUAUAGUGGCGUUAUGCGGAAUAAAUCUUUAAGGAUUUUGCAACCUCUUGAACAGCUAGCCAGCUCUCGCCGCAUCAUGACAGUUGGUUUUCGGCUUUCUCUACUGAGGUGCUCGUCCGGCAGAUCCGGGACAUAAUCGCAGUAGUUAUCCCAGUGCUACCUUUGCCGACGGAACGGAACGUAAGGUACCAAAACAUGGGAGCCGGGCAAACCCAACCAAUGACCCAAGACAUGAUUCGGAGCUGAUGCAUAUAGUGCUAUAAGUUCGGGGUGCCGAGCGACCAAGAAGGUGGUCGGACUUUAUUGCCGUACUGUGGAGCGCCUAGCAUAACCGGGCGUAACACAAACCGUUGCUGCCACUUUUAUGGCAAAAAGGCGUCGAUGAUAAACGACGAACGGUCCAUGUUUAGUUAAGUCUACGCAUUGCAGUAAUAUGAUAUGUCCAUGCAUAUGAAUGCGAUUUAUGAUUAUGAAAAAGAGAUGGUUUUCUGGCAGAACCUGUGGUGGCCAGACUGGAGGGGGCUGUGAAUGGAUGAAAGUGAAUCCGAACUGUCGUCUACCUGCAUGGUCCUGUCCUUGUGUGUCCGGGCCGACUUCACGCCGCCAAACCUGUUCUGCAUAAGAGUUAGUUUGUGAAGGUAAGUGAGCGGAGGGCGCCGAACGUCCUCCUAUGGUUGGUCCAAAGGUUCCUAAUCGGACCCUGGUGACCCCAGCCGCUAUUCGAGAAGCAGCCCGGACUCCUAAGUUAGUGUCCGGAUAGUUGGCUGUCAUAUCAAAAAUAUUGACAGGCAUGCGCGACUUGCUACUCUGGCAGCUGUAUGAUCUCCGCUUCUGAGGGCGGGGUUUGGCUCUGCAUGCAGGCGUGAGUGUAUUACCGGUGUUGGCCUGAUGAUUUACCACGUGGAAUCUAGACAACGUGGUGCAUCCUGUUAGCAUACGGUGUGAUACCGUAUAGGGGGAAUGCGCCGAUGGCGCGGCUUUAUUUGGUUAUCUGAAAACAACCGUUAGGGCGGCAGGCCAAUGGUCCUGGCCUUUGUGCCUGGCACCUUGUAGAAGAUGUUAUUUGUACGCCCGCUUGGGCUUUUAUUGUUUGAGGAGCCCCUGGACUGUUAGGUCUUGGGGUAUGCAAUUGAAUUGUUGUGGUUUGUAUGGUAGGGGGCGAUCGGCCGUACUGUUGUGCUGGGGGGGGGGGGGCUUUUGACUAAGCGCCUCCCCUCAAUGUUUCCGGCACAUGCCUGGUUGCUUUAUUUUGGAGAUCUGGCAUUCUCUAUUAGUAUGUUUUGCCGUUCUUUUGGGAGUACCGUGAAUUUCGCACGGCUGAUCGAGUUCGUGGCUUGGGCCGAAUAGGCUUGAGCUGUUCCUUAUCCGUUGACUGGACUAGGAUUUGCUGAACUUGAUACCGGCUUCCCUGAUUUGUCGUUUAUGACCAUUGCACCAGGGCUUGAGGCUGCUUCUUCGUGUAUCCUUCUUGUUGGUUUGGACCGUAGUGGUGUGCGGACGUCGGGUUGUGUGCCUUUGAUUUUCCUGCUUAGGUUGAGGUAGCCGCGUGUGCCCUUUGUUAGGUGGUCGAGUCCGUACUUCUCGGUGGCCAGGAUCUUGGUCCACCAUUCUAUUAGCAAAUCCUGUUCGGACUUAAGCUGCUCUUGCUUCCUUUGCAGACUCUUUGCAGUGGCUAUGAGUCGUCGCCUAAAGCGAACUUGUUCCACUGGGUCUUCAGGCAUGCCAAAUUCGUCAUUGUUGAGGCUUACCUCGUCUUCGGAGGGGGGUGUAUAGUUGUUUCUCUCCAAGUAUCCCGCUGUGGCCUGUACGGCCUGCUUGAUGGUUGGCUGAUCAGGACUGUAUUCCCCUUCGGUACUAUCCGGAUCAUCUCCGGGACCGGUAUUGAUGUGGCGGGGCUUGGAGUGGCGUCGGAGACGCCCAUAUUUUGCUUUUCCUCCCGAGGGGUUGUCCUCCACUGCCUCGUCGCCGUUGGUUUCUUUCGGAGUGUCCACCAUGUAUAUAUCGUUUGAAGAGGUGGUUGUCCACCGCCCUAUGAGCAGUGGCUCCUGUAUGUCUCCUGCAUUGUCGUCCAUACCGUUGAUGUCUUCGAAGUCAAAGUCGAGCACGUUGGUUAAAUCAUCGAUUGUGGCGACGAAGUGGGUGGUGGGUGGGCAGUGAAUUCCUUCAUCGCCUACUUCCCACUCAAGCCGGACAUAAUUCGGCUCAGAGCCUCCUGACAGAGAGAGAGACUUUAAUGAAUUCAGCAUGUCACCAAAAGGCGAGUGCUGAAAGAUGUCCGCAGCGAUAAACUCCAUUACAGGAGCCCAGCCUGGCUCGGCUGGCUCGAGAGUGAGCGGACCAGGACCAACAACCGGAUAUGAGUCCGGGGCCCCAGGGUUACAGGCCUCCAGAGAGGUGAGACCCGUGUUCGGCUCCACCGCCGAUAAGUGUGCGGCCUGCGGGGCGGGGUCCAGCCCUCCGCCCGUAGGCAACGCAACCUGCCCUGGAUUUAGAUCCGGGGCUGCCUCGGGGAUGAUGUCCUGGGCAUUGUCCGACAACAGGUCUAGGCCGUGCUCGUCGUGGUUGUCCGGCGCUCCCGGCGUAGGCUUGAAUCCGUCGAAGAUCAAGUCUCCGCGGACAUCUGCCGUGUAGUUCAAGUUUCCGAACCAGAUCUGGCGGCCAGGGGCAAAGCUGUCGAUCUGCUCCAACUGGCCAAGCGAAUUGGCCCGUAGUGUGAAGCCGCCGAACAAAAAGAUCUGUCUGGGGAGAAAAGUCUCACCCUGGACCAUGUUGUUGACGGUUGAAGACGCCAUCAAGCCUCGAGGCGGCGACACAGAGGAACUCUCAAUGAAAGCACCAAUGUCGGUGUCAAAACCGACGGAUCUCGGGUAGGGGGUCCCGAUCUGUGCGUCUUAGGCUGAUGGUAACAGGAAGCGAGGGACACAAUGUUUACCCAGGUUCGGGCCCUCUCGAUGGAUGUAAAACCCUACUUCCUGCUUGAUUAAUAUUGAAGAUAUGUGGAAUACAAGAGUUGAUCUACCAUGAGAUCGUAGAGGCUAAACCCUAAGAGCUAUCCUAUGAUGGUAUGAUUGUAAUUGUGAUUGGCCUUCUAAGGACCAUGCUCUCCGGUUUAUAUAGACACCGGAGAGCUAGGGUUUACAUGGAGUCGGUUUACAAGGAAGGAAACAUAAUAUCCGGAUCGCCAAGCUUGUAUUCCACGCAAAGGAGAGUCCCUUCCGGACACGAGCCGAAGUCUUGAGUCCUUUAUCUUGAUGCUUCUAUAGUCCGGACGAUGUAUAUAGUCCGGCUGUCCGAAUACCCCCUUGUCCAGGACUCCCUCAAGCACCUCGCGAGGUACUCCCUGCCUUGAUCUCUCUGCCUCCUCACGAGCCUGCCCGGUGAGGCCACCCCUGAGGGGGCCUUGGAUCGUCCGCCCCGCAAGGCUUGGUCCCUCACGAGGGUUUUGAGCUUGGGCUGGUGUAGACGGGUCGUACUGGGCCACUGCUUGAGCCACGCCGCAGGCCACAGGCAGGCAAGUCUGGGGACCCCCGUUCCCAGAACGCCGACAGUAGCCCCCGGGCCCAAGGCGCUCCCGGACUUGGCUUAGUAGUGAUGCCAAAGGGCAAGUGCGGAGCGCCGCAGGCCCCAACAGCCUGCAGCCUUGGUCGCUGCAUGGCGGUUGAUUGAACGUGAGCGUCUCCGCUUCCCCAUGCUGCCUCGAUAACUGCCCGAUUUGAUGAGUCCCUGCUACAUGCAAAAUGAGUCAUGAUUACCUGCGAUCGUGGAGGCCGACGGUUGGCCUCCCUCAGGCUAUAAAUGUGGAGGGGCGCAGGCCCAUCCCCCUGCUGCACAUCUUCCUUCCCUCGCCUGAUUCUUCUUCCUCCUUGCUCCAGCUGCUUGCCGCAUCCCCAUGGCGCCCACGAAUUGGUUCUCGGCCGCGGAGAAGGGGAAAACUCACCAGGAAGGGCCUGGCUCCCCUCCGCCCAAGCGCGGCCGAGGUCGUCCUCACAAGCACCCCGCUACUCCUACAGCGGCUCCUCGUGGUCGCGGUGGUGGUCCUUCGCGCUGUGAUGGCUGACCGGUUGGCGCUGGAAGACGCGUCGUGGCUGUGCGGCCUCCCCGGCCACCCUUUCAUUCGGCAGAGGUACUGCCAGAGUUUGUCGUGUGGUCGGCAGAUCUGGCCGGCAACUGGCUCCAGCUCCCCCGCUUCUUUGUGGGCGAACUACCGGCUGAUGGCCCUAGUGGACUUUGGCUGCAGGCAGAUGGUUGUUGCAGCAGGGCCUCCUGGGUCGCGGUGGAGAUCUCCGUCGCCUGGAACGUGGCCCUAGCCCACGGCUGGCAGACGUUUGCCCACGCGCGUGGCCUGGGCCGGCGGUGCACCCUACACUUCAAGUUCGACGGCGACGCGACCCUCUACGUGAGGGUGUUCGAGGAAGAUGGCCGCCGUGCUGGCUGCUCCCCCGAAGACGACGGCGACGAGGUGUUUGGCCUUGGUGACAGCUGUGACGUGGGCGAAGGCGAACCCGCUCCUAGCGGCGUCCGCAGCUCGCCGAGCUUCAGCGGCUCCUCCUCUGGUGACAGCUCCUCUAGCGGUGGCCGCGAUCAGCCACCACGUCGCAGCGCCCGCUUCGAGGGUGGUAGCAGGUCAUCCCGCCGCUGUGCCCCGGUGAAGCGUGAGGCGGAGUCCGAUUGAGCUCGGGAGGGUGAUGCGGAUCCUUCCUCGCGAGCCGUUGCGGGCCGCGCCGCUUUCAUUUUGUUUUUCUCCUGUUCCUCUAUUGAGAGAGAGAGAAGUAUGGACCCCCGUGGGGGGCGUGCAAGACCAUCAUCCUUAGUUAUCAUGCUACUUUUAUCGUUCUCGUGUUGUGUCAUGGUGUUGCGGCUAUGCGCUUGCGCAUAGGAACAACUUAGCUCGGGAGGUUCACUACAGUUUCCGCUUCGCGAGGUACUUUCCUGAGGCCUCGCCAGGUAUCUUUAGGUCUGCAAAGAUCAGUCGGGAGGAUAGCUUUCGAACCUUUGUCGCGAGGGUGACCAGCUUAGGUCCGGCGUUUUGCAUCGCGAUGCCCGUGGGGCAUGGACCAGGAGGGGUGCUCCGCAGUGGACUUGAGUGAGGGAGCUUCACAAAAUCAGGCGAGAAAGGGCUCACGAGGGCGCCUGCGCAGCCCCCUCACGAGGCUUGCGAGUGAGAGAACGAGCCCGGCGAAAACCAAAGACAGAGAACAUGGGCAGGGGAUAGCAAAUAACACUAGAAGCAACUCCGAUAAAGAUUCAAACAAGGGGGAACAAGCCAACUGCAGAAAAGCAAAUGAAAAGCCACGUUCGGCACCUAGUCUAGUAUUCGACGUCUUCUCACCAGCGCGGAGCUAAGUGCUGCCACUGGGCGUGGGCAGGAGCCCCCGAGGCCCAAGGGCGGCACUCCGGAGACUCCGGGGCAUGUACAGCCCCAACUCAUUAUUACGUGAGAGUGUCACGAGCAGUGAGCUUCACAGGCACUAGGCCUUCUUCACAGGCACCGGGCCUUUCUUGGGGCGGCGAGAGCUUCACAGGCACCAGGCCUUCUUUGUAGGCAAUGGGCCCUUCUUCACCGGCACCGGGCCUUCUUUACAGGCACGGGCCCCUUCUUCACAGGCACCGGGCCUUCUUUACAGGCACGGGGCCCUUCUUCACAGGCACCGGGCCUUCUUUACAGGCACUAGGCCUUACUUCAAGGGUAGAACCUCCGGAGGUGCUGAAUGUUCCACGCAUUCGGGAUGGGCACCCCUUCCUGGGUCACCAAGUGCGCGGCGCCAGGUCUGGAAACAUGAACAACCUUGAACGGACCCUCCCACAUGGGAGAGAGCUUGUGCAGCCCUUCCCUGGAGAGCACCAGCCAGAGCACGAGGUCACCUACCUCGAGAGUCCUUGGGCGGAUGUGGCGGCAAUGGUACCGCCGCAGCGUCUGCUGGUAUCUUGCGGCUCGUAGUGCGGCCUCCCGUCGGCCUUCCUCCCCCAGGAUGAGGUCCAUCCCCCGCACGGUGUCCUACUGCGCUUCAUCAAACGCUAGGACCCGCGCGGAGCGACGCCUGACCUCGUGAGGGAGGACUGGCUCCGCUCCGUGGACAAGGAAGAAUGGGGUCUCGCCAGUCAACUUGGUGGCAGUAGUGCGGAUGGACCAUAGCAUGGACUGGAGCUCAUUGUACCAGCCCCUGCCGCAGGCCUCCAACUUCUUGAAGGUCCUGGUUUUGAGGCCCUUCAGGACCUCUGCGUAGGCGUGUUCGUCCUGGCCGUUACUCCAGGGAUGUGCCACCGAAGCGUAGCAUAUCUGUGUUCCAAGGUUAGCACAAUAUGUUUUGAAGAGAUUGCUGGUGAACUGCGAACUGUUGUCGGUGAUGAUGCGGUUAGGGACCCCAAAUCGGCUCACGAGGCCCUUGAUGAAUUUGACUGCAGAACUGGCCGAGAUGGUGCGGACGGCUUCCACCUCCGCCCACUUGGUGAACUUGUCGAUGGUGACGUACAAGUAGCGGUAGUCCCCAGACGCUCGAGGAAACGGGCCCAGGAUAUCCAGCCCCCAGACCACGAACGGCCACGAGAGUAGGAUGGUCUACAGGCUCUGAGCCAGCUGAUGAAUCUGCUUGGCAUGGAACUGGCAGGCUUCGCAAGCCUUCACCAGCUCGAUCGCAUCGUUGAGUGUUGUAGGCCAGUAAAACCCGUUGCAGAACGCCUUGCCCACGAGGGUUCGUGAUGACGAGUGGUGCCCACAAUCUCCUCCUUGAAUGUCUGCCAGUAAUUCCUUCCCCUGAUCCCUGGAGAUGCAACGCAGGGAAACAUCGUUUGGCCGCUUCUGGUAGAGCUCUCCGUCUUGGAUGCAGUAGGCCGUGGCCUGCCGGGCCACGCGUUCCGCGUCCUCCUCCUUCUCUGGUAGAGUCCCUUACAUCAGGUAGUCCUUGAAUUUCACAGUCCAGCAUCCCUCCUGAGGCUCCAGCCUGGAGCAUGUGUGCUCCCGAGGUCGGGCCACAGGCCGGGGCUCUUGAGGCAGGUGGUUGAGGGAGUUCCUUCCGAGGUUGUGUUGUGCUUGAUAGUGAUGUUGUUGCUGAGGGCUUGAAGAGUCGUUCCUCAAAAAUGCCAGGCUACUGAGGCAGACGCCUGGACGCCCUCCUGGUGAUGUCAUCAGCCUCUUGGUUGGUACCUCGGGGCACAUGCUGCAACUCCAACCCCCAAAACUGCUUUUCCAUCUUGCGUACCUCUGCAAGAUACGCCUCCAUGUGCUCAUCCUUUAGCUCAUACACCUUGUUGGAGAAGUUGACGAGGAGCUGUGAGUCUCCCUUGAUGACGAGGCGCUUCACCCCUAGUGCUGAUGCAGCCUUUAAGCCCGCUAUGAGGCCUUCGUACUCCGCUAUGUUGUUGGAGACCUUCUCGCCGUGCUGGAAACAAAGAAGUACAGCGUAAUAGAGCUUGUCCUGAGUGGGGGAUAUAAGCACUGUGCCAGCCCCCACGCCAUGUCGCGAGAAUGCUCCAUCGAAGUACAUGACCCAGCCAUCUGGUGCCUCACUUGCUAGGGAGAGUGAUCGAUCUUCGCAUGCUUCAAGCCCCGGCACCUCUGUCCAUUCCGCCACAAAAUAUGCAAGUGUCGCUCCCUUGACGAUCCUAGUUGUGCUGAAUUCCAACUGAAAUGCUUGCGGCUCAAUGUUCCAUUCGGCGACCCUUCUAGAAGAGUUGGGGCUCCUGAGUACCCUUUCCAAGGGGUAGGCCGAUACGACCUUGAUGGGGUGGCCUUGAAAGUAAUGCCUCAACUUGCGCGAGGCCACCAAUAGCGUGAGCAAGAGCUUCUGAGGCAUGGGGUAUCGUGCCCGAGCAUCUCGCAGCACUGUGCUGACGAAGUACACCGGAUGCUCGACGAGGGUGGGCAUGCUGAUGAGGGUCGUAUCCUUCGGAGAGCUAGGCACCUCCUGAUGCGUUGGGGCUUCCAGCACCUGGCUGCCCGGUGAGGCCACUUCAGCCCUGGGGGCGUCUUUCUGUUGAGGCUGGCCUUCAUCUGCCGAGGCCAUGACCUUCGUGAGGCUUUCUUGGUCUGGCGCUGCUGCGGUUGGGGUCACAUUCGACCGUGAUGCGGCCUUGGCUUGGCGCUCUUCCCGGACCGCCACCAGAGCUGCGCUGGCGGAGUAGGGCGUGGUGGCGAGGUAGAGCACCAGGGACUCCCGAGGGCGUGGCGCCACCAUCAUCGGAGGGCUGGUCAGGUACUUCUUGAGAUCUUGAAAUGCUUCGUCGGCCUCUUGUGUCCAUUCAAACGGGGCCUUCUUCUUCAUCAGCUUGAAGAAGGGCAGGGCGCGCUCCCCCAUCUUGGAGAUGAAGCGCCCUAACAUAGUCACGCGUCCGGCGAGCUUCUGCAUUUCCUUGAGGGUUUGCGGCGGACUCAUGUCUUCGAUCGCCUUGACCUUCUCUGGGUUGGCCUCGAUCCCCCUGUGGGACACGAGGAAGCCCAGAAGCUUGCCAGAGGGAACACCAAACACGCACUUCUCCGGGUUGAGCCGCAGGUCCACUUCAUGUAGGCUCGCGAAGGUUUCUUCCAAGUCGUGUAUCAAGGUCUUCGCUUCUCGAGACUUCACCACAAUGUCAUCGACGUAGGCCUCGGUGUUUCUCCCGAGCUAUCAGCCCAGGGCAAUGUGCAUUAGUCGCUGAAAAGUUGUGCUCGCGUUGCGCAACCCGAACGGCAUGCAGGUGUAGCAUUACACCCCGCACGGGGUCAGGAAGGCAGUCUUCUCCACGUCUUCUACCGCCAUCUUGAUUUGAUGAUAGCCUGAAAAGGCAUCCAGGAAGCACAGCAGGUCGCACUCAGUGGUGGAAUCGACAAUUUGGUCGAUGCGAGGGAGUGGGAAUGGAUCUUGAGGGCGGGCCUUAUUGAGGUUGGUGAAAUCGACGCACAUGUGCUCCUUUCCUCCCUUCUUUGGCACAACCAUAGGGUUUGCCAGCCAUUCGGGGUAGCGGACCUCGCGAAUGACACCUAUAGCUUCCAGCUGCGGGUUUCUUGGAUGAUGAAGGCUUGCUCCUCGGUGGACUGUCGCCUUGCUUUCUGCUUUGCGGGGCGUACAUUAGGGCACACGUUUAGGUGAUGCUCAAUCAUCUGUCUUGGGACUCCGGCUAGCUGCUUGGGUUCCCACGCGAACACCUCCUUGUUUGUGCGAAGGAACUUCACCAGUGCCUCCUCCUGGCUGGGGUCGAGAUUGGCACCUAUGGUGAAGGUGGCACCGGAGGACCCAUCCUCAUCAACUGGUACCUGCUUGGUUUCUGCCUUGUCUUGGGUGAACAAAUGCUUCUUCUUGGUUUGUGCAGCACCCAUGGCCUUGGAGGCGUCAGUGCUGGCGAGCUGUGCUGCCACAACUGUCUUGAGGGCGAGCUUGAGCGCCUGUAGAGCAUCUUUGGCAUCCCCAGCCACAGUGAGGGUGCCGCUGCUCCCGGGCAUAUUCAUGAGCUUGCAGGCCGGAUGGGUCGCUGCCAUAAAUUGGGCCAAGGCUAGGUAGCCGAGGAUGGCGUUGUACGGGAGGCCGAUGCGGGUGAUGUCGAAGUUGACCAGCUCCGUGCGGAAGUUGUCGUGCGUGUCGAAGGUUACCGGAAGGCGGAUCUGCCCGAGGGAGCCGGAGGAACCACCCCCGACGCCUAAGAAGGCCCUGCUGGGUUGUAGCCGUUCCAGUGGUACAUAGAGGAGGCUGAAGGCCUCCACUGAGAGCAUGUUGAGGCUGGCACCGCCGUCGAUGAGGGUCUUGGUGACGGCCACCUGGCAGAUGGUGGGCGUGCAAAGCAUUGGGAGCGCACCCAAGCAAGUAGUGUUGUCGGGGUGAUCGUCGGAGCUGAAGGUCAGGUCAGCCUCGGGCGCCGCCCGACCCGGGGGAGCUCCAUGGCGCGUGAGGGCGGCGCCAAUCUGGCGGACAAACAGCUUGACGUGGCGGCCCGAGGGUGGCGCCUGCGAGCCGCCCAAGAGAGCUGCGAUGACCGGGGGCGCCGGCAGUGUAUUGGGUGAGGAAGAGGUUGUGCAGCUCCUCCUAGGAGGCCACAGAAGCCGCUGGCAGGUGAAGCAGCCACAUGCGCGGGAUGUCGGGGAGGGUCGUGGGGAGCCAGUUGGCCAUAACCUUGUUGUCGCCCCCGACCUUGAGGACGGCCCGCCGGCAGGAAAACCAGCGGGUCUGCCGCAUCAUUGUAGAGCGGCGGCAUCUCUGGCUUCAACUUGUGCGGCCACUGCACAUGUCGCAAGGCGGGGCCAAGGCUCAGAGCCCCCUGGCCCCAGCGCUGGCGUCGACCACCGGAGCGGGCGGCGCGUUGUCCGCCAUGAGGGCGAAGCGCGGUGUUGAUGGAGAGCGGGUCGGCAGAAGAGGAAGCUCCGGCGCACCCCUACCUGGCGCGCCAAAUGUCGGAUAUCGGGUUCCGGCAAAACCCUUAAGGUUCGAACUCUAGGGUCCGCACGAAGAUCUUCUCCCUACCGAUCCACGCCCCAAAGCUUCACCGCGAAUCUAAGCUACAUGAUGAACAACACAAGGUUUAUACUAGUUCAGGCCACCGUUGUGGUGUUAUACCCUACUCUAGUGUGUGGUGGUGGAUUGCCUCUGGGGCUGAUGAUGAAAAGUACAGAGGAAGAACAGCCUCGCGAGGGGAGUUCUUGAGCUGGUGGGUUUGGAGAGGAAUGGAUCCGUCUCUGUUGGCUAUCGGUCUGAUCUCUUGAUCCCCUCUCUACUGUGGUGGCUAUCUCUAUUUAUAGAGGCCUUGGUCCUCAUCCCAAAUAUUGAGCAGGAAGAGAGCCAACAACGGUCAUUUUGAAGGGGGGCAGCUAGUACAAGUUAUCCUGACUAAAGUUGGUCUUCGACUGCCAAAGGCACUGGCGAUGACGCCAUCUUGGGCUCCAUGGUGACCUCUGUCCUGCCGCUCUACUGGUCUUGGUCCCGUUGCACCGAUAUGGCAACCUUUGCUUGAUGCCUCGGUACUCCAUGCCUACGCUUGCCCCCUUUGCACCAAAGAGGAAGCGAGGACACUGCGCUGGCUGGCGCCUGCCUGGUCUCGGUCGUCAUGGCUUGCGUCAUGAGCACCUUGCGAGGUACUCCCUUCCUUGAUCUUUCCGCCUCCUCACGAGCCUGCCUGGCGAGGCCGCCCCUAAGGAGGCCUUGCAUUGUCCUCCCCGCGAGGCUUGGUCCCUCGCGAGGGUCUUGAGCUUGGGCUGGUGUAGACGGGCCGUACUGGGCCACUGCUUGAGCCACGCCGCAGGCCGCAGGCAUGCAAGUCUGGGGACCCCAUUCCCAGAACGCCAACAAUUGCAAACAUGUUUAUUCAUAAUAGGCUGAAUCAGGAACGAUGAACUCAUCAUAUUUACAAAAACAAGAGAGGUCGAGUUCAUACCAGCUUCUCUCAUCUCAAUCAGUCCAUCAUAUAUCAUCAUUAUUGCCUUUCACUUGCAUGACCGAACGGUGUGUAUAAUAAUAAUAGUGCAUGUGCUUUGGACUAAGCUGGAAUCUGCAAGCAUUCAAUUCAAGAGAGAAGACAAGGUAAUAUGGGCUCUUGGUUAAAUCAACAGGCAUGCAUAUUAGAGCCACUAAGCAUUUUCAUUAUGGUCUUCUCCUCUCGACCCCCAAAGGAAAGAAAAAGAAAUAAAACUAUUUACACGGGAAAGCUCCCAACAAGCAAAACAAGAAUGAGAAAUCUUUUUGGGUUUUCUUUUUAAUUACUACUACAGGCAUGGAAAUUAAACUAAAUAAUUUUUUUGGUUUUUUUAAGGUUUAUUAAACACACAAAAAGAAAGCUAGAAAAAGAAUUUAAACUAGCAUGGAUAAUACAAUGAAAAAGUAUGAGCACCGACAACUAGAAUGAAUGUGUGAACAUGAAUGUAACGUCGGUGAGAAAUACGUACUCCCCCAAGCUUAGGCUUUUGGCCUAAGUUGGUCUAAUGCCAAAGAUAGCCUAGCUGAUAUCCGAAGUUAUAACUGGGGUCAUACUGAGAAGCAGCAGCCAAUGCCUCCUGAGCUGCGGCAUGUUGGUGAGCUGCCUCCGCUCUCCUCUCGUGUUCGGUUGCCUCCUCCAUGGUUACAACAUAUCUUAUUUUUGCCUGGUAAUCAAAAAGGGAAGGAGCAGGGAGAGUAAUAUGGACAACGCGACGUCUGUCGAAGAUUAGUCGAUACUGGAGGAAUUGUUCAUUCCUCACAAGAAAACGAUGACUUACCAUAGCUUCAUAAUCUAAAUAAGCAGGAGGUAACUCCCUAUCAUCCUCACGUGGAGGUAUACCAAGAUAAUUAUCAAUGCGGGUUGCAUAAAUCCCUCCAAACAAAUCUCCAGAUAUACCAUUAUUAUGCAACCUACAUGCAACUAUUGCCCCCAAGUUGUAAUCUUUAUUACCUAAUACAACACUCUUGAGGACACAAAGGUCAGGGACACACAUGUGACAUGCUUCAUCUUUACCAUUAAUGCAUGUACCAAUGAAGAGAGAAAAAUAAUGUAUAGCAGGAAAAUGAAUGCUCCCUAUGGUAGCUUGUGCUAUGUCCCUAGAUUAUCCCACAGUGAUACUAGCUAGAAAAUCUUUAUAUUCAGAUUUACGGGGUUCAAUAACAUUACCCCACUGUGGGAGUCUGCAAGCAGUGGUGAAAUCUUCUAAGUCCAUGGUAUAAGAUUGAUCAUAAAUAUCAAACAGGACAUUCUAAGAAUUACGUGAAGAUGUAAAUUUAAACCUUCUCACGAAUGAAUCAGUUAAAUCACAGUACUGAGGACACUUAUCUUGCAUGAAGUCCUCAAGAUCGGCAUUACGCACAUAUGCGUCAAAUUCAUCCUUGAUGCCUGCAUCGACCAUAAACUCUUCUGACAGCCAUUCAUAAGGCCGCAGAUCAGCUUCCCUUGGUAGUUCAUCAUCUUGCUCACGCAUAGCACGUCUGGGUCCUCUCUUUGUUGAGGAACCACUUUGGUACAUUUUCCUGGACAUAUUUCUUCCUCUGAAAAAUUUCUGAAAUUUUUAGUAACUUCAAAAUAAAAGUGAAUCAAACUCAACAAAAUUGAUAGCAACUACUCCCACAAGUGCCUAGAGCCUACAUCAUGCAUUAGAAUUACUUGGGACCUCAUAAAUUUUACAUGCAAGCUCAAGAACAGGGUCACCUAUGCGGCAAAAAUUUGCAAUGAAUAAAGCACUAGAUCAAAAACUAAUUGGACAAUUGGAGGAGUCACAUACCAAGCAACAAUCUCCCAAAGCAGUUUUGUGAAAGGAGCUUUGAGCAAGGAGAUCGAAAAUCGCAGCAAAAUGAGCUAGAACUCUUGCUUGAGCUGGAUGGGGAUUUUUUUGGGGGGAGGAAGAUGGAGUGUGUGGGUGCAGGAAUAAGUGGAGAGGGCCACCAUGGGCCCACGACGCAGGGGGCGCGCCCAGUAAGAGUGGGCGCGCCUUGGACCCUCGUGGCCAGGUGCUUGCCCUCCUGCUGUGUUCUCAGUGCCUAAAAUCCUCAAAUAUUCCAUAAAAAUCAUACUAAAUUUGCAGGGAAUUUGGAGAACUUUUAUUUUGGGAUAUUUUUUAUUGCAUGGAUAAUUCAGAAAACAGACAGAUAAUACUAUUUUUGCUUUAUUUAUUCUAAAUAACAGAAAGUAAAAAGAGGGUACAGAAGGUUGUGCCUUCUAGUUUCAUCCAUCUCAUGAUCAUCAAAAGGAAUCCACUAACAAGGUUGAUCAAGUCUUGUUAACAAACUCAUUCCAAAUAACAUGGAACCGGAGAAAUUUUGAAUAACACUAGGUUACCUCAAUGGGGAUAUGAACAUCCCCAAUAAUAAGAAUAUCAUACUUUUUCUUGAUAGUGGGAAGAGGGAAUUCAAAACCUCCAUAAUGAUAGUUGGAACUUUUCCAAUAGAAUUGAUGUUGUGAACUUGAGGUUGUUUCCUCGGAAAGUGUACCGUAUGCUCAUUGCCAUUAACAUGAAAAGUGACAUUGCCUUUGUUGCAAUCAAUAACAGCCCCUGCAGUAUUCAAAAAGGGUCUACCAAGGAUAAUCGACAUACUAUCGUCCUCAGGAAUAUCAAGAAUAACAAAGUCCGUUAAGAUAGUGACAUUUUCAACUACGACAGGCACAUCCUCACAAAUACCAACAGGUAUAGCAGUUGAUUUAUCAGUCAUUUGCAAAGAUAUUUCAGUAGGUGUCAACUUAUUCAAUUCAAGUCUACGAUAUAAAGAGAGAGGCAUAACACUAACACCGGCUCCAAGAUCACAUAAAGCAGUUUUAACAUAGUUUCUUUUAAUGGAGCAUGGUAUAGUUGGUACUCCUGGAUCUCCAAGUUUCUUUGGUAAUCCACCCUUAAAAGUGUAAUUAGCAAGCAUGGUGGAAAUUUCAGCCUCCGGUAUCUUUCUUUUAUUUGUAAUGAUAUCCUUCAUAUAUUUAGCAUAAGGAUUUACUUUAAGCAUAUCGGUUGCGCGCAUACGUAAGAAGAUAGGUCUAAUCAUUUCAGCAAAGCACUCAAAAUACUCAUCAUCCUUUUUCUUGGAUGGUUUAGGAGGAAAAGGUGGGUUUCUGAACCCAUGGUUCUCUUUCUUUACUGUGCUUCCUAGCAACAAAGUCCCUCUUAUCAUAACGUUGAUUCUUUGAUUGUGGGUUAUCAAGAUCAACAGCAGGUUUAGUCUCUACUUCAUCAUUAUUGCUAGGUUGAGCAUCAACAUGAACAUUAUCAUUAACAUUAUCACUAGGUUCAUGUUCAUCACCUGAUUGUGUUUCAGCAUCAGAAAUAGAAAUAUCAUUGGGAUUCUCAGGUGUGUCUACAACAGGUUCACUAGAAGCAUGCAAAUUCCUAUCAUUUUUCUUUUUCUUCUUUUUAGAAGGACUAGGUGCAUCUAUAUUAUUUCUCUGAGAAUCUUGCUCGAUUCUCUUAGGGUGGCCUUCAGGAUACAAAGGUUCCUGAGUCAUUCUACCAGUUCUAGUAGCCACUCUAACAGCAAAAUCAUGUUUAUUAUUUAAUUCAUCGAGCAAAUCACUUUGAGCUUGAAGUACUUGUUCUGCCCGAGUGGUAACCAUAGAAGCAUAUUUGCUAAUGAGUUUAAGUUCACCUUUAACUCUAGCCAUAUAAUCACUCAAGCGUCCUACCAUGAAAGCAUUACUCUUUAACUCUCUACCAACAUAAGCUUUAAAACUUUCUUGCCUAGCCAUAAAGAUAUCAAAUUCAUCUAAGCAUUGGCUAGGAAAUUUAGUAGAGGGGAUUUCAACUUUAUCAUAUCUAUAGAGAGAAUUUACCUCUACUACCUGUGUUGGUUUAUCAAGACAAUGUGUUUCUUCAACAGGCGGUAUAUUAAGACCAUGUAUUUCUUCAAUAGGAGGUAAAUUCUUAACAUAUUCAGCUUUAAUACCUUUUUCUUUCAUUGAUUUCUUUGCCUCUUGCAUAUCUUCAGGACUGAGAAAUAGGACACCCCUCUUCUUCGGAGUUGGUUUAGGAAUAGGCUCAGGAGUUGGCUCAAUUGGCUCAGGAAUUGGCUCAGAAAGAGUCCAAUUAGUUUCAUUCGUCAACAUAUUAUUCAAUAACAAUUCAGCUUGGUCGACUGUUCUUUCCCUGAAAACACAACCAGCACAACUAUCCAAGUGGUCCUUGGAAGCAUCAGUUAGUCAAUUAUAAAAGAUAUCAAGUAUUUCAUUUUUCUUAAGAGGAUGAUCAGGCAAAGCAUUAAAUAAUCUUAAGAUCAUAUCUAUCAUUGCAAGCAAGAAUAGCUCUAGCAGCUUCUUCAUCCAUAACAUAACCCUCAGGAACAACAGGCAAUUCAUACUUAGGGGGAGAACCUUCAUCAUCACUAUCAUCAAUAAUUUCAUCUUCAAUAAUAUCAUUCUCUCUAACCCUAGCAAGUUGCUCAUCUAGAAAUUCACCUAAUGGCAAAGUAGUAUCAAGCAGAGAAGUAGUUUCAUCAUAAGUACCAUGCAUAGCAGAAGUGGCAUCAUCAAUAACAUGCGACAUAUCAGAAUUCAUAGCAAUAGCAGGUUUAGGUGUCGCAAGCUUACUCAAAACAGAAGGAGAAUCUAGUGCAGAGCUAGAUGGAAGUUCCUUACCUCCCCUCGUAGUUGAGGGGAAAAUCUUAGUUCUUUCGUCUUUCAAGUUAUUCAUAGUGAUCAGCAAAUAUAAAUCCCAAGUGACUCAAAGAAUAGAGCUAUGCUCCUCGGCAAUGGCGCGAGAAAAUAGUCUUUAUAACCCACAAGUAUAGGAAAUCGCAACAGUUUUCGAGGGUAGAGUAUUCAACCCAAAUUUAUUGAUUCGACACAAGGGGAGCCAAAGAAUAUUCUCAAGUAUUAGCAGUUGAACUGUCAAUUCGACCACACCUGGAUAACUUAGUAUCUGCAGCAAAGUAUUUAUUAGCAAAGUAGUAUGAUAGUAAUGGUAACAGUGGCAAAAGUAACGAUAGCAGUUUUGUAGUAAUUGUAACAGUAGCAAAGGAAAAGUAAAUAAGCAAAGCACAAUAUGUGAAAAGCUCAUAGGCAUUGGAUAAGUGAUGGAUAGUUAUGUCGGAUGUGAUUCCUCAUGUAAUAGUUAUAACAUAGGGUGACACAGAACUAGCUCCAAUUCAUCAAUGUAAUGUAGGCAUGUAUUCCGAAUAUAGUCAUACAUGCUUAUGGAAAAGAACUUGCAUGAAAUCUUUUGUCCUACCCUCCCGUGGCAGCGGGGUCCUAAUUGAAACUAAGGGAUAUUAAGGCCUCCUUUUAAUAGAGAACCGGACCAAAGCAUUAGCACUUAGUGAAUACAUGAACUCCUCAAACUACGGUCAUCACCGAGAAGUAUCCCGGUUAUUGUCACUUCGGGGUUGUCGGAUCAUAACACAUAAUAGGUAGCUAUAGACUUGCAAGAUAGGAUCAAGAACUCACAUAUAUUCAUAAAACAUAAUAGGUUCAGAUCUGAAAUCAUGCCACUCGGGCCCUAGUGACAAGCAUUAAGCAUAGCAAAGUCAUAGCAACAUCAAUCUCAGAACAUAGUGGAUACUAGGGAUCAAACCCUAACAAAACUAACUUGAUUACAUGGUAAAUCUCAUCCAACCCAUCACCGUCCAUCAAGCCUACGAUGGAAUUACUCACACAUGGCGGUGAGCAUCAUGAAAUUGGUGAUGGAGGAUGGUUGAUGAUGACGACGGCGACGAAUCCCCCUCUCCGGAGCCCCGAACGGACUCCAGAUCAGCCCUCCUGAGAGAGAUUAGGGCUUGGCGGCGGCUCCAUAUCGCAAAACGUGAUGAAACUUCCUCUCUGAUUUUUUUUUCUCCGCGAAACGGAAUAUAUAGAGUUGCAGUUGAGUUCGGUGGAGCAUCCGGGGGGCGCGCCCAGGGGAAGGGGCGCGCCCCCCACCCUCGUGGACAGGGUGUGGGGCCCCUAGCCUUGAUUCUUUUGCCAGUAUAUUUUUUAUUUUCCAAAUGUUAUCUCCGUGGAUUUUCAGGUCAUUCCGAGAACUUUUAUUUUCUGCACAAUAAAUAACACCAUGGCAGUUCUGUUGAAAACAGCAUCAGUGCAGGUUAGUUUCAUUCAAAUCAUGCAAGUUAGAGUCCAAAACAAGGGCAAAAGUGUUUCGAAAAGUAGAUACGUUGGAGACGUAUCAGCGGUCGCGGGCGGCGGAGCCUUUGAGGUGGACGGGUGAUUUCCAGCUCCGGGCUUCUUAGGCGCCAUAGUCAAUGGCAUCGCCGAUGAUGAAAAUGGCGAUGAGGAUCACGUGCUGCUCAAGCUUUCAGGUUUGUGCAAGUGAUCCCCCUACUUGGCGCGCCAAAGAUGUUGUGGGGAACCACGACCACCUAUGGGGCAACGAACCCCUUUCUGGUUCGGCGGGGGGAUGGCACGUUGCACAAAGAGCAGAGGAGUGUGAGACAUCACGACAGAGAUCACACGGGUGGUUUUUACCCUAGUUUGGGCCGCCGCGAGGCGUAAAACCCUACUCAUGCUUUGGUGGAUUGAUGGUGGAUGGUGGUGGAAAAAUUGUAGCGUUCUUGCCCGGCAGGGUUGCCUUGGGACAAGAAUGGCUACGCGUGUACGAGUGUACAAGGGUCCGAAAUCUUUUGUAUGGUUGCCAUGGGCCUCCUUUUAUAGAUAAAGGGGUCACCACAGUGGCAAAUCAGUCAUUACACAUUGAUUAGAUAGGAAAAUGUGAUAUCCUACCUAACUCUGCAGGCUGACAGAGCGCAUUAAAUGUGGCACUCAAUGUCACAUCAUAGCUUGCCCGAUAGGCUCUUCCGGGCCGUUUCGCCAGCUUGGCGCCUACUUGCUUGACACGUCGCAGGACGGGUGUCGCUUGUAGGUAUUUUCUAUAGGAGGUAGCUGCAAUGUGGCAUUUAGCAGCCACUUAGUCACCUUGGAGCUUGACACCAAACUAAUCGACGACGUGCGUCAUGGAGAUGUGGUGCAGUGAAGUGGUUUUGUCUUUGCGGUCCCGGUAGGCCUGUCGGGAUGAUUCGGCAGAGGCUUGCUUCCAGGGAAAACCUUGUCUCCGCCAGGCUCGCCUGCCCGGCAGGGGAGGUUUUUCCCUUAGCGGUAUCUUGCACCUCUGGCUAGUCUUAUCCUUCUUGAUCUCUUGCUUGGAUCCUUCAAGGGGAUCGACCCAUCUUGCUUGAGUUGAUCAUGGUGUUGUAAACUUGUCCUCGUGCAUGUGCACAGUCCGGGCAACGGACCCAGGGUUUGUUGCACCGACAGAAGCCCCCGGGCCUGGCGUGAUCGUGCCGCUGGGCGUCGACGGGGUAGUCCCUAAUAAGUGCACAUGCAAGAGUGUUGAAGUGGCUUCGUCCCUUGAGAUUUUCCUUGCUUGUUCAUUAUCUUCAGGCUGGGCCAGUUUCCGGUUUUUCCGCACAUCGCGUAACACCAAUUGUGGUGGGACCAUUCUUGUAAUGGCUCAUGAAUGACUUUAACGCAGGGGCGGGUAACCGCCAAUUCACUUCCCACCAUGCCCUUAUCCUUUGCCACGUAUGUCGCAUGCAUCAAGUGGGGUAGGUAACGGAGGCGCGUGGUGCGGAGGGGCAUCAAGGUAGGGGCCCUGGUCUUCUAGGAUUGGUGGAGGAGGACGGUGGUUACUCAUCGGGAAAUCAGCCACCCAGCCCCCAGCUCACCUAUAAAAGGAGGAGCGUGGGAGGAGUGGAGGCAUUCAUCCAUAUCCCUCUCCUCCUCCAUUUUGCUUUGUCUUGAGUAUGCUGGAAGGGAGAGCCCGGGGCCCGAGCUGAUGACGCCAAGCAAUGGUGCUGGCGCUCAGGGAGUGGGUCUGGUCCAAGUCCAAGGCGAAGGGCUUGGGAUCGUUAGAAAUCCCACUACUACCCCUUUCCUUGGAACCGGGGUUGAUGUUGACGAGGAGGGUGCCUUCCUGCCUGCCAAGGUGAGGUGCGGCGUGCCUCGGGCGUCCUGGUUACUCCCGCUGCUAAUCGUCUCUCCGGGUAAGGCGAUGGCUUGUGGGUCCGGCGUCUUCCUGAAGUGGUGGUGAAGGAGGGAAAGCGAGGGACGGUGAGGAAGGCGGGUGAUGGGACGUCAGGUCGGAGUACGAUGGCGUCGACGCCUUCGUAGCGUAUUGCCGACCGCCCCAUCUUCCUGCUUCCCCCUUCCCUCCCCGGCACCAUCAUCACCAGUCUCUUUGGGUGAUAGCCAGGGAGGGAUGUUCCCUUGGUGCCUUCAUCCCCCUCUAGUGGUCUUCCAGCCGACCGUUGGUGGUUGAUUCCUCCAUCGCUCGAGCUGGAGCUCCUUGCUGGUCCUGGAGGUGAUAAUCAGGCGCACCGCCGAGCUGCCCUCCAGGUCCCUCCUUCGCAGACUCGCCACUCCCGACCUUGCCAGGCUGUGCCUGGCAGGCCGUGACGAGAUCGGGGUGGGCUCCUGCUUGGAGCGCUCCCCUAGUCCUCUUCCAUUCCCACCGAAGUACCUGAUGGAGGGAAAACGUAAAGAGCAGUCUUCAGGGGACACUUAUAUUUUUUCAAUCUUAAAUCUGUAGGCACUUGCCAAAUUUUAGUUCAAAUAAUGUAAUCCCUUGAAUCCAUGUUUGUGUACUGUAAGUUUUGUACUUGUUUGAAGCAUAUAAAUGAAAAACAUAAACCUUGUCUGGGACUCGUGCAUGUAUAUGGCCAUGCAGAGGUGGAAUGCCUCUAUAUUUAAAUAAACGAGUUUUCCCAGUAGGCUAUCCUGUCGGUACCCUCUAUUUGGCUGUCGGGGAGCUAUGCUUGUCGGGCACAAAUUGUAAUGAAAGGACUUCAAACAAUGGACAUCCAGCCCUCAGACUUGCCGAGAGUGAAAAAAAUCAUUUUCCAAGUUGCUCAAAGCAAAGAUAUAAUACCAUAAAUGGAUCGGGUCAUUCAUAAGAAUCCAACGAGCUCAAGAACGUCAAAUUCUGAGUUUGUAUAAAGAAAUGGUGGACAAUGUCCUGAAGAGGUCCAGAGAAAAUGACGAUGUAUCAUACGACCAUAGCUCGUCGUACGCGCGGUCGUUUGGAAGGAAAUCGAUCUCAAAAGUUUCCUCUCCAGAUUUGAUUCUUCACCGAUUUCGUCCGUAUUUGUUCCUACGACUUCCUUGGCCUUCAAGGGAUGUUUUGGGAGAGGAUGAGGCUCACGUAGAGCCCUUGGAUCAAAGGGGAGAUGCUAUAUGAAUGGAGGAGGCUACCGGAGAGCCAUUAUAUAAACACCUUCAACCCUAGCCAACGUGUCCAUCUCAUAUCAUUUGUCAUUCAUCAUUCAUCUCCAUGUCCAGCCACUGUCCACAUCAAGAAAACCAUAGUUGCAACCAAGAGGGAGACCAAAGGGAGCCAUCGCCACCGCGCCAUCACCACCAUCAUCUACUGUCGCUUCAUCAUUGUCACCAUCACCACCCCUUCUUCCUGCUCCAUAACAGUCUCUGUGAUGGGUUGUAACAACUCUUGAACCCCUUAUAUGUGAUGUUAUUUGAGUAAUUAUUAGCUAUGGGUCGGUCGAUUAGUAAGUGGUUGUUUGAUAUGUUUUGUCUAUUUAUGUGUAUUUAUUUGUGUUGCUUACUUACCUCUGCGGUAAUUUAUUGAUUGGAGACGUUCAAUCCAUUGGCGUAGUUGGAGAUGUUCAAAUAUUAGGCCACACAUGAAGUUGAUAGAAUGUUGUGAAAACCGGUAGACCUGUGAUGUGACAAGUGCAGACAUCUUAAGGGGAACAAAAUUAUUCUAGGAGCAUGAUUGUCCAUAGAACUUAUUGCCUUCGUCCGGUCCUCAUGACCUUAAUAUCUUUGUGUUUCCCUCCACAGGUAUGGGACAAGAAGUAGGACGAAUGAGUUACCUCAAUACAGCCCAUCUUGAGGGAUAAUAUUAUGCAAGGGAUCGCCCACCAUCAGUACAUUGACGUAUCCUAUAAUGCAGGUACUGACUUAGCCACCACAUGGCAUAGUCAUAAAUCUUAACACCAUUUUGUGCCCGUACCGAAUUAGACCAUACCUAGAUGCCAACAAUCUCAUCUAAAACAUCACAUAGUUCUCUUAGUUUAUUUUCCUUCGUAUAUAUUAUUUAUGUUAUGUUCUCUCUAGUACUUAGUUCUCCCUUUUACCGUUCCCUAGCAACCUACUCGAGUGAACUAUUUCCAAACUACGGUUUGGGUGUGAGCGUAGUUGUGUUAAGUGGCAAAGGGGAUUGUGGUGCCAUCCUAUUCGCUCCCUAUGGGAUCGAGAAACCUUACUUAUCAUGAAAUUUCUACAUAGCCAUGUGAACUUGCAGGCCAUCAAAAACCUAAUUUUUAUUGGUCUAGGUGAAAGCUUACUUCAUAAGGUCUGGUCUGCAAAAAGUUUCACUCAAUUUGGACCUACUCAUAAAACUUAUAAGGGUUAAAGUUCCAGGGGGUUUCUGUAAAACUACCAAGUGUUUUUAAUUUAAAUCACAAAAUAUUGUGGAUAAGGCUAAGACACGUGGAUAGAUCCUACUGGUCUAUACCGAUUCGGUUAUGUGAGUGCGCAUGGGGUCAUGCGCUCGGUUGUGAUCAGGUACGUGGGCAAGCGACGUGGGCGGCAGUUAAUGGACAAAGAUGAAGUUAACAGGUGGGGUCAACUUGUCAGUGAGAGAGAGAGGGCGUGCAGCUGGCUAGCUAUAUCGUUGUGUUAGAUGAGACUCUAGGUUUAGGUUGUUCUUUCUUUUUGGUUCCCUUUAUAAAUUCAAAACUAUUUAGAAAUGGAAUUUUCUUCCAAAAGUUAACUAGCCUAAAUUCCAAAUGGAUACUCCUGAUGUGGUGAUCAUUUUAUUUGCCCCCUUUGGCCAAAUAACUUCUACCACCUUACAUUUUUCUUUUUCUAUUUUCAGUUCCUUUUUGAACUUCAAUCUGGUAUGAAACCAAAUAUACUCUAAAUCUAACUUGGAAUAUUAAUAGAAAGUCAAGUAUUUUAUUUGGACUUAUGGUAAUUAUUUUUCUUGCCAAAUAAUGCAAGACCCUUUUAAAUAAUUUUCCCUUUUGAUUUUUGAAUUCAAUCCAACAUAAAUUCAUUUCUACUAUUUGGGAAAUUUAUCAGGGUUAUGAGUAUCAUUUUGAACUUAUUAAGAAUACCUUUAUGCCCAAAUAAAUAUUUCAAUUUGUCACCCUAUUUUAGGAUUCAAAAUUAUUCCCUAAAACCUUUUAGGGUUCACUUUGUUUUACCAAUUUCAAUCUCGGGUUCAAAUGUUGGCAUAGGGCCUUUGGCCCUCUAAGUUAAUCAAUUAAAUCAAUCACAAGCAAAUCCUAGGGGAUGUUAGAUAAUUAGAGAGCAAGCAAAGUUUUUUCUACAAAAAUAUCAAUUCUCUGUGAAAUUUUAAACAUACCAGAUUUAGGGAAAAUCUGGGAUGCGACAAAGACGCAGUUUUAUUCUUGUCAUUGACUACACAAUAAAUAUCCCAGAACUGGGUGCCUAGAGGUGAGUUUACAAACCAAAUAUCUUCAUGAAACAACACUAUUUGCCAUUACCUAAAAACCACUUAUAUCCAAAUGUAACAGCUUUCAUAGCCCACAUAACCCCUUUCCAAAAUUGAGAAGGAUGUGGAUCAUGGCAGCAAAUAGUAUUAAGGUUCUUAGUAUUAUACUUAGCAUCUAUAACUCUACUCCAUAGAGUCCCUUCUCCUAAGAUAUAUGUUUUAACCCAGGAGACGGUAAGGCAAAUAUUCAUAUCAUGUAUAUUAUGAACUUCCAUCCACCAUAUUCCCUUUUAAUGCAUAUGGAGGGCCAAUUGGCAAGGUGCAUCUUUUUUCCACCUUUACUGUCACUUCAGAAAUAAUUAUAAAACCAUGAAUUAACCAAAGGCACAUACCAUUUCAGGAACUUAUAGGAAGAUAACAUGUAAAUAGAAAUACUACACAGAUAAAUCCUAACAAAGGUGACUCUCCCUAAUAAGGACUAGGGGCUUACCCUCCAUCUAGCCAGCAUGGACAACAUGGCAUCAACUAGAGAUUGGAGGUCCUCUCUCUUGAUCUUAUCAAAUUGCAAAGGAACUCUAAGUACUUAAUAGGCAAGCCCCCUUGACUAAAUUAAAAAUAUCCAAGAAAGGUUUAUCCUCUCCAGGUUCUAAAUUUAUAGGCACCAAUUCACUUUUGUGAUAAUUAAUAGACAUCCCUGAAACCAACUCAAAGCAAGUCAAGAUGCACUUAAGAUUUAAAGCUACUGGACGGUCAUUAUCUAUGAACAACAAAGUAUCAUUUGCAUAAUGCAGACACACUACACCACCAGGGCAAAAAUUAGGGAAGAUCCCUCUAACUAGCCCAACUCGUCAUCCUUUCACUAAUAUCCUAGCAAACACAUCCACCACCAAAUUUAAAAUUAAUGGGGAUAAAGGGUCUCCCUGUCUCAAAUCCCUACUAGUGAUGAAGAAGUAAGUUUACUCACCAUUAAUCUUCACAUCCACUGAUCCUGAUGGGCGAGUCUCCUAAUCCAACCAAUCCAUUUAGCACCAAAACCCCUAAGUUCAAGAACCCCAUACAAAAAAUAUAUCUAAACUAACCCUGUCAUAAGCCUUUUCAUAAUCAAUCUUAAAUACAAGGCCUUUCUAGCCAAAAGAGUGUACCGAGUGAGCAACCUCAUGGGUAGUCACCACAAUCUCCAAAAUAAACCUACCUCUAACAAAAGCAGAUUGAUGCUCAGAGAUUAGUCUGUCAAUAAUCAGAGCUAGUCUAUUGGUAGACUUUAGUAAAGAUCUUAAAACAACAAUUGAAGAGAUUUAUAUGCCUAAAUUUCUUUAUGUUUCUCGCAUCGACUUUUUUAGGAAUAAGAGUGAUGGAAAAUCAAGUCUAAAGAUGUCUUGGUUUAGAUCAAACCAGACUUCAAAUGACUAUCAAAUAUACUUUAAUAAUGUCAUAGAACACUUGGUAAAAUAUAUAAGGCAAUCCAUCGGGCCUAGGGACACCAUCACAAUAGGAGUCAAAACAGCUUCCUAAUCUCCUCGUUAAACCUAGUAUUUUCUCUAUAGAAAUUUUCUCGUCCUCUCUAAAGAAAUCACUCUUAAGAGAGAUAUCAGGUCUACGUUCAUAUCUAAAUAACUCCUUAUUAGAGCCCUCGGGUCCCCCAGGUCCAUCUAGAACACUAUUUUUUUUUGAAAGAAAGGGGUCCCCCCUGCCCCAUUAUAUUGAAGCAGCAAAGAAAACCAGAUUCGGAAUACAAGCUUAACAGCUGGAUCCCCACACAGCCCACACCAGGCAACACCAUACAGACUGGAAACAAAACUAACUAGAAGGUGUAAACAGCCUCACAAACCAGCAAUCAUUUUAGCCUACAUGUAGUUCUUUUAUUACAAAACCCGAAGGCGAGGGCCAAAAGUGAAAGCUAAUUGUCUACUGACGACGACCGGAGAUCAGGUCCAGGCGAUACGCAGGAGCUCCCCCUGGUGUUUGUCGAGUAACAGAAUACAUGUUCACAGCAGCUCCGCUUGGGUGUCAUAGCAGAGUACCCCCCAGUGCAGAAGCACAUUUUUCAACUUGACAAGGACGCAAUUCAAGCCUCUCCAUGAGCGGCCCUGAAAACAGAAAUCAUUCCUUAGCCUCCAAAUGCUCCACAAGGAUGCAGCCAUGACCAGAUUGAGCAUAGGUUUACAUUUGUAAGAACACCACACAACACAUAUGUCUUCCCAACAAGUAAAAGGUUGCACAUUAAAAAGCUCACAGACCAUAGAACAAACACAUUUGGCCACAACACAAUCAAAAAAUAGAUGUUGAGUGGACUCAUUUUCUCUACAAAACAGGCAGGAGAGGUCUUCCACCUGUCUACUUUUGUUCAAAUUAUCUCUGGUCAGAAAUUUAUUGUACACACAAAGCCACAUGAAAACAUGAAUAUUUUGAGGACACAAAACUUUCCAAAGAGAUUUUCCAAUUGGAGAAACAAUUCCUCCAAAGUUUAUAACUUCAUAGAAAGAUUUAACUGAGUACAGCCCCUUAGGUUAAAGAGACUAGAUAGGCAAAUCUGGCGAGGUAGACAGAGGGAAAUCCCUAAUGUGGUCUUGUAAUUGAUUCCACCUAAGAAUCCCCCUCAGAUCGACACAUCGCCUAAAUGUAAGUUUCAGAGUAGUCCCAUCCCACACUUGAUCCACUGAACAAUCAGGCUGGUUGCAAAUUUCAAACAGGUCCCAAAACAUAGUUCUUAGGGAACAAUCCCCAGCCCACGUAUCAUGCCAAAAACUUAUUUUAUCACCUCUCCCCACCUUCCAAACAUAGAAAGUUUUUGAAGCAUUUAAAGCCCGGGUCACACUUUUCCAGAAGGGGGACCCAAUUUUUUGUUUGGCCCACUGAAUAUUCGGCGAGUGAGUGUUAUAUUUAAAAGCCAAAAUCUUUUUCCAAUCACUGUCAUUAAAGUCAAAGAAACGUUUUCCCCAUGAGGCCAAAAGGGCCAUGUUGAAUUCUUUCAAGUUGGGGAUACCAAGUCCCCGAAAUUCCUUUUUUCUAGUAACCAGACCCUAGUUGGCCAGAUGGUAUUUAUGUUGAUCAUCUAUAUUAGCCCAGAAAUAUGAGCCAUUUGAGAAUGAAUGGCAUUAAUUGUCUAUUUAGGGAAUUUAAUCAUGGCCAUAAGGUAGGCAGGAAUACUAACAAUACAGGCACACAAUAAGAUCAACUUCCCCCUAUAGGUCAAGUAUCUACCCAGCCAACCAGAAAUAUUCUUGAUAAUUCUAUCAAUAAUUGGUUGUAGAUCUUCUCUCCUCAAUUUGUCAUAGUGCACAUGCACUCCCAAGUAUUUGAUAGGAAAAGACCCCAACUUACAACAAAAAAUUUGAGCAAAGGUUUUAGACUGCUCCUCCACAUUUAUGGUGAGUAAAUCACCCUUGUGGAAAUUAAUUUUCAUACCAGAUAGGUUUUCAAAACAGGAUAAAAUCCACUUAAAAUCCCUGGCUUUGUCAUAUGAAUUCUCUAGAAAGAGAAGUGUAUCAUCAGCAUAUUGCAAGCUGAUCACUCCCCCGGGGAUAAUGUUGGUCAGAAGACCGGAUAUCAGGCCAUGUUUUGAAGCCUUGAUUAGCAUUUUGGAGAAAACAUCAGCAACUAAAUUAAAAAGCAAGGGGGAGAAGGGAUCUCCUUGUUUGAGACCCCCCCCCCCCAUAAAGUAAGGCCCAGUAGCAUCAUUGAUCCUCACACUAAAUGUACUCUGCAAAAGAGUUGUUUUAAUCCCAAAAAAUCCAUUUUUGCCCAAAACCUCUGGAACUAAGCAUUUCAAAAAGAAAGUCCCAACUUACUCUAUCAUAUGAUUUUUCAUAGUCUAGUUUGAGCACAAGCCCUUGUGAACCAAAUUUCUUAACUUCAUGAAUAACCUCACGUGCCAGGACUACACUUUCAAGUAUAUAUCUUCCGUUGAUAAAUGAAGUUUGAUUGGGAGAAAUCAUUCUAUGACUGAUAGGGGAAAAUCUAUUAGUCAUAGCUUUUGUAAAAAUCUUAAUAGCACAAUUGCUAAGACUGAUAGGUCUGAAGUUCUUCAUGUCUUUAGCAUUCACCUCCUUUGGGAUCAACACCAUCAGAGCAAAAUUAAGUUUAUGAAUAUCUAAUUUGCCCUCCUCAAAAUCUCUAACCAUGGCCAUAAAGUCUUUUUUAAUUACCUCCAUGAAGGUUUUAUAAAAGAGGAAAGGCAAGCCAUCAGGGUCAGGCGCUCCAUGUGCAUAAGAGCCAAAAAUGGCUUCCUUAAUCUCCUCUUCAGAAAAUUUUCUUUGUAGCAUUUAAUUUUCUUCUAUCGUAACCAGCUCAUCUUCCUCCCAGAAGGAAGGGCCAAGAUGAAUAUCAUGUUCUGCUUCAUACCCAAAAAGAAUUUUAUAAAAAGUAGUAGCUACAUAUAGCAUUUCGUUAGUAGUAAAAACAGGGCCAGAAUCCCAUUUAGCUCAGUCAAAUGAUUUUUUUUCUAUGCCUGUGAUUGGCAAGCGCAUGAAAAUAGGCAUUAUUUUUCUCUCCAUCUUUAAUUCUACGAUCCCUCGAACGUUGCCACAAGGCAACCUCCUCCUUACGCAAGAUAUCAUCAAGCUCUUUUUUAAUAUCCCGCAUCCGAAGCCUAUCCGCAUCCGAUACACGAUUUGACUCGGCAAAAACAUCUAGGAUAUCAAAUUCGUGCAUAAGGUCUCUCUUCUUUUUCUUAAGAGCAGCUUCAAUAUUAAUACUCUGGCCUUUAGCCUUUUUCCAAACAAUUUAGCUUUUUAUAACCAAACAUCAAUAGCAGUCCUCCCCACCACUAGGGUAUUCCACACCUCUAUAAACAUAGUUUUAAAUUCUGGGUAGUCAAGCCACCAUUUUUCAAACCGAACUGUUUUGGGGGGAGGUAACCCUCCUAGCUCAUGUGUCUAAAAUCAGGGGGUAUGAUCACUACCAAUUCUGAGUAAAGCAAUUAAACCGGAUAAAGGAAACUGAGCAUCCCAAGAAGGGGACACAAAGACUCUAUCAAUAGCAGCAAAAACAGGAUCAUCCUGAUUAUUACUCCAAGUAAAACUUCGAUUAGCAAUGCUAAUUUCCAUAAGACCCCACCUAUUAAUCCAAUCAUUGGAAAGGAAGGCAAGUUGAUUAUUAAUGAUGCCAUUGCUCUUAUCUGUAGCACAUCUCACCAAAUUAAAGUCUCCACCCAAAAUCAUAGGAUAUGUGAGAUUUGUCAUUACAUCAUGUAGUUCAGCAAUAAAUUCCAUUUUCAGAUCAUUGUAAGCAGUACCAUACACAGCAACAAAGUGCCAAACAAAACCAUCUUUUUUGUUCUUAACAGUAGUCACAACACUGUAUGUUUUAUUAAUAAAGCCAAUUAUCUCAAACAGAUCAUUAUUAAUCCCCACAAGGAUCCCACCAGCAGUGUUAAUAGCAGGGAAUUGUUGCCAAGAAAAAUCAUUUCUACCAGCAAUUCUCCUAAUGGUAAUAUCAUCAAUUUUUUCCCUCUUGGUUUCAAAGAAACCAACAAAAUCAGUGUGAUUGUUAUUAGUAAAAUCCCCUAGGCAUUGAAUUUUACCUGGUUGUCCUAGACCAUGAAUAUUCCAAAAGGAACCUAUCAUUGGAUUUUAAAAGGGUGAGAUAGGCCACAAGGCACAUUCUUACAAAGAACAAUUGGAUUGUUUACACCCAGAUCAACAGUGCCCCCUGAUCUAGAGUUGAAAACAUGACCAGAAGGGGUAUAGGCCCUCUCAGCAGCAUAUGUGGAAAUAUCUAAAUCAUGCGGUAAAACAAUUUCUGGAUUCUGGUCAGCAAAUUGCAGGCAUCUUAAUUUCUCCCUAUCCACAAUGUCCAUUAUAAUUCUCUUUUGAUCUAAGCUACUUUUUCCAACACACAAGUCAAUCUUAUUAAUUUGUUCGGCAAGAGUUUGGGUAUCAGUGGUAGCAAAAGAUUUACCUUUGAAGGAGAUAGGAAUUUCCAAAUUCUUCUUCUGUAGAUAUGCAGUAGCUUUCUCCAUAAUCUUGACAUUACCAUGGUUCCUAGUGAUUGGUCUAUUAGAGAGCACAGGCCCCCACCCCCACAUUAUUGUCCACAUCACACUUCAUCUUCUUGUCUGAUUCAGCUUUCUCUAGUGUUUCCGGGAGUGAUCUCUUAACAGAUCCAAGGGCCACCGCCAGAUCAUCAGGUAAACAUUGCAUAUCAGUUAAGCAGUGCUCCUCUUCCUCAUCAGAGUCUUCCAUUUCAAACUUACUUAACUGGGCAGAGCAACAGUCCAUAUGGACAGACAAAGGUUCAGAGCCAAAUGUGGAAGGAGAACCAACAAGAGCCGGACAGGGACUAGAAGGGCUAGAAUUCACAGGGCUUUUGUCUCUGAUUUCUUCAAUGAACUGUUCAUGGAAGCAAUCAACAAGUUUUGGAGGAUGAAACUCAGCUGCAGAAACAACUACCAUCAUGUUCUUACUUUUAGCAGCAGAGAUGUUCUUAUGAGGGAAAUUUGCUCUGUCAAGUUGAUCAAUAGGCUCAUCACCAUCCUCUUCCAUCUUGUCCUUCUCAAAUUGCUCAUUACCAUUAUCUUCCUUUUUCUCUACAGCAUUAUCAAUAUAAGGAUCACUGUCGUUAGCAUCAGAGUUGUCUCGCGCCUGUUCAAAUCCUUCCACGGUGAAAAAUAUCAUAUAUAGCUUUUUCUUCAUCUCCACCAAUCUCUCAAAAGGAAUUUUGGCAGGAUCCCUACAAGCAACUUUAAUUAUGAUAAUCUCAUAGAAACUUCUGAAAAUCCCAUUCCAGUCCACAUCCACAAGGAUGCCAAAACACGAAGCAACCUGUGUAAACACUUUCCAUGCACACCACUUGGGAGGAAUCCCCUCAACUUGUACCCAAGCUUCAGACAACUGACCAAACGCCUCCAUCAUUCCCUCACAUUCACAUAUCUUAAUAGAAACUCCAUCAAUCGGGAGGUCAAAUGCAGGGAACUCAAUCAGGUCUUCUACUUUUUUCCAAGGUGGGAAUCUAAGUAGGUAUUUCUUCUCCUCAAGCUCUCUAAUUUGCCAUGGCCAGUCUUUGUUCUUACAGAAAAUACCAUUUAGCUGGACCAAUAAGCUAGAACACUAAUCAUUUUUUCCUUCACCUCUGAUUAGCGACAACAUGGAAGUAAGCAGUGUUUGUGCCAUCCUCCAUACUAUCCUUAUCCCUAGACCUUUCACCGGCGUAGUCUCCUAUUUACUCCAAAUGUCUCCUAACUCUAGCAGAAUUUCAUCCUUCCUGCCCUUAUACCAACCUCAAAGAGGGUAUUAGACUCAGUCUAAACGCCAGAGGAUACUGUUUUGGGGACUAACAAUAUCGCUGGGUGCUACUUUGGCACCUAUGGUACAGUCGUACAGUUGCUUUUGGUAAAUACACCGCAGAGAUGAACUAUGUAGGAAAGUUUGCAAAGAACCCUGCGAACGUGGAAUGCAACACCUCUGUUUCUUUAUUUAUUCCUAAUUUUCCUCUGUUUCAGAGGGUGUUUGUUUCCAUGGACUUAUUGGUUUAGGGACUUAAAAAAGUCCCUAUAAGUCACAUCUAAACUAAACAGGAGGGACUUAUAGAGACUUAAAGUGGGCAUUUGGGACUUAUGAAAUAAGACUCUCAAGGAGAGUCUUACAGGAACUUAUAGUUGUAAUGUGGUCUUAUAGGGACUUAUAAGUCCCAGGAACCAAACAGGUAAGGACUUUUUAGAGACUUGAGACUUAUAAGUUGGGAUUAAAAAAAGUCCUAAGACUUAUGAACCAAACAGGGCCUCAGGCUCAGGAAUGCGUGCUCCUGUUAAUAUAUUCUGUAUUAUAACGUUUUCAGAGCCAACACCUGUUCUGUUCGACUGGUACUCACUGCAUUAUUUUUAGAUGAAUCUCGUGACCCUAUCUUGCGCUGAGCAGUGCAGACUUUACUAGUUUUCGUGCUUCCUUCAACUGAUGCAAUUUUUUUUUUGCGGGUUGUUUAAAUAUGCAAGCAAUGUUCUAGUAAAAGACUUGGUAGGUGAUGAAUCAAAUGCCCUUGCUCAUUCUGCCUUAAAUUACAGAGCUCAGACUAUAUAUUACAUGGUACAUACGCUGGAGAAAGAAAGAGUACUUGAUUCCCCAUUCGAUUUACACACACCACCCCAAAGAAGACACGGACACAGAUACAUUGCUGCUGCUUCUUCGACCUCCAGCCGAUCCCAUGCAAUCCGUGCGUCCGAUCUGAUGCAAUGCAACAACCCCUCUCCCACCACGCGCGCAAGCCAAAAAUCGUCUUAUAGGCCGAGCGCGCCGAGUGGCGUCUUGCCCUGUCCGGCCUCGAAGUAGAAGAUGAGCAUGGCAAGCAUGGCGAGGCGCGAGUGCUUGAUCUCGGCCACCUUGAGCCGCUCGAGCUUCUCGGUGUCGGGGAUGUAGACGCCGUCCUUGGUCUCGCCACCGAGGCCGAGCGGGUCGAAGAACUUGCCGCCCGGGUACCCUUGCUCACCGGUGAAGUUGGCGAAGUUCUCGGCCGUGCGCGACCACGGCGUGGCCCACUCCACCGACUGGGAGUCCGGGUUGAAGAAGUCGACCCACCGCUUGGACUCCACCCACCCCAUGAGCAGCAGCUGGGUGCCCAGGAGCGACCCGAAGGAGAAGGGCGCCACCGCGCCAGGCUGCGCCCCGGCCUCGAACCACGGCACGCCGCUGUACGCCUGCCCGAUGAAGAUGCCCAGGACCGCGGCCAUCGCCCACCGCCCGUGGAUCAGCUCGGCCUCCCUGUACCACUUGAGGAACGCCGGGUCCUUGCCAAGCCCCAGCGGGUCGAAGCCGAAGUCACCGGGGAGCCUGCACGUACGCGUUGAGUGAGUCUCAGAGUUGCUGCCAUGGAGGCCUCCCCUCGCGUAGAGUGGGAUUAAUGCAGGGCGACGAACGAAGAGAAAUACGAACGAGGAAGCCUUACGAGCCAUCGAGCCAAGACGGGUUGAUGAACUCGGCAUCGCUCUUGACCGCGGGGAUCCACGACUUCUUGCCGACGGCCGCGGCGACGACCACCACGCGGCGCGUCACGGGCUUGGCGGCGCCGAGGGAGGCGGCAUUAGCGAGCGCGCGCCUCGCGCCGAGGAACGGGUUCUUGAGCACGGCCGCGGAGGCGGUGGCGGAGGUGGAGGCGAGCGCCAUGGGUGCCGGUGUUGCUUCGCCGGUGACGGUGAGGUCGCUGACGCGCGCGGCGGAGUGGCAGCUAGGACGUCUGUUGGAGCGCGCAGGAUUUGCAGGAUGCCACGACGGUUUUGAUGUUAAAUCGUGGCGUUGCGGCGCACGGCAGCCACAAGAUGUGGGCGGGGAAAUCCUGGGGUGGUAGGAUGGAUAGAGCGCUGGCCAAUGGGGAGCUGGCGCCAUCGGAUUCUGCUGCGCCGGUGGACGCCGCGUGGACAAUAUCCUGGGCUUUCAUGCUCCUUGUGAUCUGUGGGGACUGCCUGCCAAUCGGACCGUGUCGUAGGAUCUCCGUAGAGAAUAGUGAAAGAAGAUCGAUCGAUCCAUUCACGGGCGUUAUAAUUGCCCGGUCAUACGAUGAUGAUCACCUUUGGAGAUGGCACGACACAUGGUACUAGUUUUCUACCAUCAAAUAUUCUUCAUAUCGUUCCCAAGUUCAACACUAACAGUGAGAUAUGCAUAUGCAUUAUAUGGGUAAGGCCAACUCCGACGCACACGGCCUCAUCGAAACGGACAGAAAUAGCGGCACAACAAGGCGACCCAAACGGAUUGGUGUCUGUUUUUCGUCCGCCCACGGCCCACUCUUGGCCCAAAUUCGGGCAGGGUUUGCGUGGGCACGGACAUGAACCGAACGUGCACGGGCGUUCUUCCUGUUCUCCCCUUGGCCCGUCAGUCGGUGACCCGUACGCGUUCACACACUCCACCAGCCGCAUCGCCACUUCGGAGGAGUUCUAGCCGGCGUUUGUAAACCCUAAACCCGCAUCCACACACUUCCCCACCCGCCCCGCUGCUUCGGAGGAGUUUUUGUCGCGUUUGUUGCCUCUUUCUCGCCACCCCCGGUGCUAGAAAUCCACGGUCGCCGACGCCGCCCGCCUCACACUCAAAGGUCGCCUGCUGCCCUCGUCUCCGCUUCGAUGGGCCUGCUGCCUGUACUAGGAGGCCAGGGUGAUCUUCAGCGGCCGCAUCUCCACCACGACUGCAAGGUGUUUGACACUUCGCUCGCAAGGUACCAUGGGUAUUUGGAUGACUAUUCUUUCAGCAACUUCAUUUGUUCAUCGGACAAUUUAUCGUAAGACGAUGAGGAGCUUGUGGUUGUGUCAUUAGUCGUUAAUGACCACUUUGCUAGGUAACUGCCGAGGUUCAGGGGAUCAAUCUCGGGCCAUGCUCUAGCAUUGAAUCGCAACAGAGAGAGCGGCCAUUUCCUACUUUUGUUGAUUAACUACUAUCGAUGCACGUCCCCGCUCUUCAAAACCCAUCUUUUCCGGUGCCGCUUCCGGAUGGCGAGACAUGUGUUCAACUCUAUUCGGGAGGGAGUGGUAGCAUAUGAUUAUUACUUCGAGUGCAAGGAUGAUGCCCUUGGAAAGGUUGACUUUUCCUCUUACCAAAAAUAAUACACUGUGGCUAUUCGUAUGCUUGCAUAUGGAAUUUCCGAUGAUCUCGUGGAUAAGUACGUCCUCAUUUAGCCUCUCUAAUCCAAAACACCAAUGGUGUGAUUUUCCUUCUUGAUACACUGGAGGAAUUUAGGGCUCUUACCCCCCCCCCCCCUAGAAUGGGAUUUCAGAGAAUUGCUCAAGGAGCACCAGAUGAAAAUUUUAUCUGCACAACAAGCUUAUUGGAAAUAGAGAGCUACUAUAAGAUGGAUCACCAAGGGGGAAACAAACUCUAAAUUUCUCAAGGUUAAGGCCACUAUAAAGUUCAGACACAACCACAUUGCUUCACUUAAAGAUGAGUUUGGCAUUGUACAUGAAGGAAAUAUGCCCUAGAGGCAAUAAUAAAGUUAUUAUUUAUUUCCUUAUUUCAUGAUAAAUAUUUAUUAUUCAUGCUAGAAUUGUAUUAACCGGAAACAUGAUACAUGUGUGAAUACAUAGACAAACAUAUAGUCACUAGUAUGCCUCUACUUGACUAGCUCAUUAAUCAAAGAUGGUUAUGUUUCCUAACCAUAGACAUGUGUUGUCAUUUGAUUAAUGGGAUCAAAUCAUUAGGAGAAUGAUGUGAUUGACAUGACCCAUUCCGUUAGCCUAGCACUUGAUCGUUUAGUAUGUUGCUAUUGCUUUCUUCAUGACUUAUACAUGUUCCUGUAAUUAUGAGAUUAUGCAACUCCCGUUUACCGGAGGAACACUUUGGGUGCUACCAAACGUCACAACGUAACUGGGUGAUUAUAAAGGAGUACUACAGGUGUCUCCAAAGGUACAUGUUGGGUUGGCGUAUUUCGAGAUUAAGUUUUGUCACUCCGAUUGUCGGAGAGGUAUCUCUGGGCCCUCUCGGUAAUGCACAUCACUAUAAGCCUUGCAAGCAAUGUAGCUAAUGAGUUAGUUACGGAAUGAUGCAUUACGUAACGAGUAAAGAGACUUGCCGGUAACGAGAUUGAACUAGGUAUUGGAUACCGACGAUCGAAUCUCGGGCAAGUAACAUACCGAUGACAAAGGGAACAACGUAUGUUGUUAUGUGGUUUGACCGAUAAAGAUCUUCGUAGAAUAUGUAGGAGCCAAUAUGGGCAUCCAGGUUCCGCUAUUGGUUAUUGACCAAGAAUAGUUCUAGGUCAUGUCUACAUAGUUCUCAAACCCAUAGGGUCCGCAUGCUUAAGGUUUCGAUGACAGUUAUAUUAUGAGUUUAUGAGUUUUGAUGUACCGAAGGAGUUCGGAGUCCUGGAUGAGAUCGGGGACAUGACGAGGAGUCUCGAAAUGGUCGAGACGUAAAGAUCGAUAUAUUGGACGACUAUAUUCGGAGUUCGGAAAGGUUCCGAGUGAUUCGGGUAUUUUUCGGAGUACCGGAGAGUUACGGGAAUUCGCCGGGGAGUAUAUGGGCCUUAUUGGGUCAUACGGGAAUAGAGGAGAGAGGCCGAAAGGAAGGAGGCGCGCAGCCCCCCUCUGGUCCGAAUUGGACAAGGGGUGCGGCCCCCCUUUCCUUCCUCCUCUCCCCCUCUUUCCCCCUUUCUCCUACUCCAACAAGGAAGGAGGGAGUCCUACUCCCGGUGGGAGUAGAACUCCCCUUGGCGCGCCCCUCCUAGGCCGGCCGCCCCUCCCCCCUUUCUCCUUUAUAUACGGGGGCAGGGGGCACCUCUAGGCACAAGAACACAAGUUGAUCUACGGAUCGUUCCUUAGCCGUGUGCGGUGCCCCCCUCCACCAUAUUCCACCUCGGUCAUAUCGUCGCGGAGUUUAGGUGAAGCCCUGCGCCGGUAGAACAUCAUCAUCGUCACCACGCCGUCGUGCUGACGGAACUCAUCCCCGAAACUUUGCUGGAUCGGAGUCUGGGGAUCGUCAUCGAGCUGAACGUGUGCUGAACUCGGAGUUGCCGUACGUUCGGUGCUUGGAUCGGUCGGAUCGUGAAGACGUACGACUACAUCAACCGCGUUGUCAUAACGCUUCCGCUUACGGUCUAUGAGGGUACGUGGACAACACUCUCCCCUCUCGUUGCUAUGCCAUCACCAUGAUCUUGCGUGUACGUAGGAAUUUUUUUGAAAUUACUACGUUCCCCAACAGUGAUAGCAGAGCCAAGUUUUAUGCGUUGAUGUUAUAUGCACGAGUAGAACACAAGUGAGUUGUGGGCGAUACAAGUCAUACUGCUUACCAGCAUGUCAUACUUUGGUUCGGCGGUAUUGUUGGAUGAAGCAGCCCGGACCGACAUUACGCGUAUGCUUACGUGAGACUGGUUUUACCGACGUGCUUUGCACACGGGUAACUAGCGGGUGUCUGUUUCUCCAACUUUAGUUAAACCGAGUGUGGCUACGCCUGGUCCUUGCGAAGGUUAAAACAGCACUAACUUGACGAACUUGAAGGAAAUAUGCCCUAGAGGCAAUAAUAAAGUUAUUAUUUAUUUCCUCAUAUCAUGAUAAAUGUUUAUUAUUCAUGCUAGAAUUGUAUUAACUGGAAACAUGAUACAUGUAUGAAUACAUAGACAAACAUAUAGUCACUAGUAUGCCUCUACUUGACUAGCUCAUUAAUCAAAGAUGGUUAUGUUUCCUAACCAUAGACAUGUGUUGUCAUUUGAUUAAUGGGAUCACAUCAUUAGGAGAAUGAUGUGAUUGACAUGACCCAUCCCGUUAGCUUAGCACUUGAUCGUUUAGUAUUCUGCUAUUGCUUUCUUCAUGACUUAUACAUGUUCCUGCAACUAUGAGAAAUAUGCAACUCCCGUUUACCGGAAGAACACUUUGGGUACUACCAAACGUCACAACGUAACUGGAUGAUUAUAAAGGAGUACUACAGGUGUCUCCGAAGGUACAUGUUGAGUUGGCGUAUUUCGAGAUUAGGUUUUGUCACUCCGAUUGUCGGAGAGGUAUCUCUGGGCCCUCUCGGUAAUACUCAUCACUUAAGCCUUGCAAGCAUUAUAACUAAUAAGUUAGUUAUGAGAUGACGUAUUACAGAACGAGUAAAGAGACUUGCCGGUAACGAGAUUGAACUAGGUAUUGGAUACCGACGAUCAAAUCUCGGGCAAGUAACAUACCGAUGACAAAGGGAACAACGUAUGUUGUUAUGCGGUUUGACCGAUAAAGAUCUUCGUAGAAUAUGUAGGAACCAAUAUGGGCAUCCAGGUCCCGCUAUUGGUUAUUGACCGAGAAUGGUUUUAGGUCAUGUCUACAUAGUUCUCAAACCCGUAGGGUCCGCACGCUUAACGUUUCGAUGACAGUUUUAUUAUGAGUUUACAAGUUUUGAUGUACCGAAGUUUGUUCGGAGUCCCGGAUGUGAUCACGGACAUGACGAGGAGUCUCGGAAUGGUCGAGACAUAAAGAUUAAUAUAUUGGAAGCCUAUGUUUGGACAUCGGAAUGGUUCCGGGUGAAAUCGGCAUUUUACCAGAGUACCGGGAGGUUACUGGAACCCCCCGGAGGUUAAUGGGCCUACAUGGGCCACGAGGGAGAAGAGAGAAGGAGCCAGGAAGGGGCCGCGCGCCCCUCCCCCUCCUAGUCCGAAUAGGACAAGGGAAGGGGGGCGGCGCCCCCCCCCCCUUUCCUUCCCCUCUUCCUCCUCUUCCCCCCCUUUUCCUAUUCCAACUAGGAAAGAAGGGAGUCCUACUCCCGGUGGGAGUAGGACUCCCCCCUUGGCGCGCCCUCCUUGGCCGGACGCCUCCUCCCCCUGGCUCCUUUAUAUACGGGGGCGGGGGGGCACCCUAGACACACAAGUUGAUCUACGGAUUGUUCCUUAGCCGUGUGCGGUGCCCCUCUCCACCAUAUUCCACCUCGGUCAUAUCGUCACGGAGUUUAGGCGAAGCCCUGCGCCGGUAGAGCAUCAUCAUCGUCACCACACCGUCGUGUUGACGGAACUCAUCCCCGAAGCUCUGCUGGAUCAGAGCCCGGGGAUCGUCAUCGAGCUGAACGUGUGCUGAACUCGGAGGUGCCGUACGUUCGGUGCUUGGAUCGGUCGGAUCGUGAAGAUGUACGACUACAUCAACCGCGUUGUCAUAACGCUUCCGCUUACGGUCUACGAGGGUACGUGGACGAACACUCUCCCCUCCCGUUGCUAUAUCAUCACCAUGAUCUUGCGUGUGCGUAGGAAAUUUUUUGAAAUUACUGCGUUCCCCAACAGAACUAUCGUUGUGGUUUUGAUGCGUAGGUAAGAACGGUUCUUGCUCAGCCCGUAGCAGCCACGUAAAACUUGCAACAACAAAGUAGAGGACGUCUAACUUGUUUUUGCAGGGCAUGUUGUGAUGUGAUAUGGUCAAGACGUGAUAAGAUAUAAGUUGUUGUAUGAGAUGAUCAUGUUUUGUUGAAGUUAUCGGCAACUGGCAGAAACCCUAUGGUUGUCUCUUUGUUGCAUAAGAUGCAAGUGCCAAAUAAUUGCUUUACUUUAUCGCUAUGCGAUAGCAAUAGUUGUAAGAGCAAUAGUUGUCGAGACGACCAUGUGAUGACACAUUGAUAUAGAUCAAGAUGAUGAAGAUCAUGGUGUCGUGCCGGUGACGAUAGAGAUCAUGACAGUACUUUGGAGAUGGAGAUCAAAAGCGCAAGAUGAUCAUGGCCCUAUCAUGUCACAUAUUUUGAUUGCAUAUGAUGUUUAUCUGUUAUACAUCUUAUUCUGUUUUGUUUGACGGUAGCAUUUUAAGAUGAUCUCUCACUAAUUAUCAAGAAAUGUUUUCCCUGAGUAUGCACCGUUGCGAAAGUUCUUCGUGCUGAGACACCACGUGAUGAUCGGGUGUGAUAGGCUCUACGUUCAAAUACAACGGGUGCAAAACAGUUGCACACACGGAAUACUCAGGUUAAACUUGACGAGCCUAGCAUAUACAAAUAUGGCCUCGGAACACGGAGACCGAAAGGUCGAACGUGAAUCAUAUAGUAGAUAUGAUCAACAUAGUGAUGUUCACCAUUAAAACUACUCCAUCUCACGUGAUGAUCGGACAUGGUGUAGUUGAUAUGGAUCACGUAAUCACUUAGAGGAUUAGAGGGAUAUCUAUCUAAGUGGGAGUUCUUAAGUAAUAUGAUUAAUUGAACUUUAAUUUAUCAUGAACUUAGUCCUGGUAGUAUUUUGCAAAUUAUGUUGUAGAUCAAUAGCUUGCGUUGUUGCUUUCAUAUGUUUAUUUUGAUAUGUUCCUGGAGAAAAUUGUGUUGAAAGAUGUUAGUAGCAAUGAUGCAGAUUGGAUCCGUGAUCUGAGGUUUAUCCUCAUUGCUGCACAGAAGAAUUAUGUCCUUAAUGUACCGCUAGAUGACAGACCUAUUGCAGGAGCAGAUGCAGACGUUAUGAACGUUUGGCUAGCUCAAUAUGAUGACUACUUGAUACUUUUGUGCACCAUGCUUAACGGCUUAGAAUCGGGACUUCAAAGACGUUUUGAACGUCAUGGACCAUAUGAGAUGUUCCAGGAGUUGAAGUUAAUAUUUCAAGCAAAUACCCGAGUUGAGAGAUAUGAAGUCUCCAACAAGUUCUAUAGCUAAAAGAUGGAGGAUAAUCGCUCAACUAGUGAGCAUGUGCUCAGAUUGUCUGGGUACUUCAAUUGCUUGAAUCAAGUGGGAGUUAAUCUUCCAGAUAAGAUAGUGAUUGACAGAAUUCUCUAGUCACCAUCACUAAGUUACUAGAACUUCAUGAUGAACUAUAGUAUGCAAGGGAUGACGAAAACGAUUCAUGAGCUCUUCGUGAUGCUGAAAUCGACGAAGGUAGAAAUCAAGAAAAGAGCAUCAAGUGUUGAUGAUUGACAAAACCACUAGUUUCAAGAAAAGGGCAAAGGGAAAGAAAGGGAAACUUCAAGUAGAAUGGCAAACAAGUUGUCACUCCCGUGAAGAAGACCAAAGCUGGACCAAAGCCUGAAACUGAGUGCUUACACUGCAAAGGAAAUGGUCAUUGGAAGCGGAAAUGCCCUGAAUAUUUGGUGGAUAAGAAGGAUGGCAAAGUGAACAAGGGUAUAUUUGAUAUACAGGUUAUUGAUGUGUGCCUUACUAGUGUUUAUAGUAGCCCCUGAGUAUUUGAUACUUGUUCGGUUGCUAAGAUUAGUAACUCGAAACAGGAGUUACAGAAUAAACAGAAACUAGUUGAGGGUGAAGUGACGAUGUGUGUUGGAAGUGGUUCCAAGAUUGAUAUGAUCAUCAUCGCACACUCCCUAUACUUUCGGGAUUAGUGUUGAACCUAAAUAAAUGUUAUUUGGCGUUUGCGUUGAGCAUGAAUAUGAUUUGAUCAUGUUUAUUGCAAUACAGUUAUUCAUUUAAAAUCAGAGAAUAAUUGUUGUUCUGUUUAAAUGAAUAAAACCUUUGAUGGUCAUACACCCAAUAAAAAUAGUUUGUUGGAUCUCGAUCGUAGUGAUACACAUAUUCAUAAUAUUGAUGCCAAAAGAUGCAAAGUUGAUAAUGAUAGUGCAACUUAUUUGUGGCACUGCCGUUUGGGUCAUAUCGGUGUAAAGCGCAUGAAGAAACUCCAUAAAGAUAGACUUUCGGAAUCACUUGGUUAUGAAUCAUUUGAUGCUUGCGAACCGUGCCUUUUGGGCAAGAUGACUAAAACUCCGUUCUCCGGAACAAUGGAAUGAGCUACUGACUUAUUGGAAACAAUACAUACCGAUGUAUGCGGUCCAAUGAGUGUUGAUGCUCGUGGCAGGUAUCGUUAUUUUCUGACCUUCACAAGAUGAUUUGAGCAGAUAUGAGUAUAUCUACUUAAUGAAGCACAAGUCUGAAACAUUUGAAAAGUUCAAAGAAUUUCAGAGUGAAGUGAAGAAUCAUCGUAACAAGAAAAUAAAGUUUCUGCGAUUUGAUCACAGAGACAAAUAUUUAGUUAUGAGUUUGGCCUUCAUAUAAAACUAUGUGGAAUAGUUUCACAGCUCACGCCACAUGGAACACCACAACGUAAUGGUGUGUCCGAACGUCAUAACCGCACUUUAUUGGAUAUGGUGCGAUCUAUGAUGUAUCUUACCGAUUUACCACUAUCGUUUUGGGGUUAUGUAUUAAAGACAGCUGCAUUCACUUUAAAUAGGACACCAUCUAAAUCCAUUGAGAUGACACCGUAUGAACUAUGGUUUAGCAAUAAAGCUAAGCUGUCGUUUCUUAAAGUUUGGAGUUGCGAUGCUUAUAUGAAAAGGGUUUUCAACCUAAUAAGCUCGAACCCAAAUCAGAGAAGUGCGUCUUCAUAGAAUACCCAAAGGAAAUUGUUGGGUACACCUUCUAUCACAGAUCCAAAGGCAAGAUAUUCGUUGCUAAAAAUGGAUCCUUUCUAGAGAAGGAGUUUCUCUCGAAAGAAGUGAGUGCGAGGAAAGUAGAACUUGAUGAGGUAAUUAUACCUUCUCCCUUAUUGGAAAGUAGUUAAUCACAGAAAUCAGUUCAGUGAUUACUACACCAAUUAGUGAGGAAGUUAAUGAUGAUGAUCAUGAAACUUCAAAUCAAGUUGCUGCCAAACCUCGUAGGUCUUCCAGAGUAAGAUCCGCACCAGAGUGGUACGGUAAUCAUGUUCUGGAAGUCAUGUUACUAGACCAUGAUGAACCUACGAACUAUGAGGAAGCGAUGAUGAGCCCAGAUUCCACGAAAUGGCUUGAGGCCAUAAAAUCUGAGAUAUGAUCCAUGUAUGAGAACAAAGUAUGGACUUUGAUUGACUUGCUCAAUGAUCAGCAAGCCAUGUUAAAUAAAUGGAUCUUCAAGAGGAAGACGGACACUGAUAGUAGUGUUACUAUCUACUAAGCUCGACUUGUUGUGAAAUGUUUUCAACAAGUUCAAGGUGUUGAAUACGAUGAGAUUUUCUCACUCAUAUCGAAGCUUAAGUCUGUCUGAAUCAUGUUAGCAAUUGCCACAUUUUAUGAAAUCUGGCAAAUGGAUGUUAAAACUGCAUUCCUUAAUGGAUUUAUUAAAGAAGAGUUGUAUAUGAUGCAACCAGAAAGUUUUUGUCAAUCCUAAAGAUGCUAACAAAGUGUGCAAGCUCCAGCAAUCCAUCAAUGGACUGGUGCAAGCAUCUCGGAGUUGGAAUAUACGCUUUGAUGAGUUGAUCAAAGCAUAUGGUUUUAUACAGACUUUUGGAAAGAACUUUAUUUACAAGAAAGUGAGUGGGAGCACUACAGCAUUUCUGAUAAGUAUAUGUGAAUGACAUAUUAUUAAUUGGAAAUGAUGUAGAAUUUUUUUGGAAAGCAUAAAGGAGUGUUUGAAAGGAGUUUUUCAAAGAAAGACCUCGGUAAAGCUGCUUACAUAUUAAGCAUCAAGAUCUAUUGAGAUAGAUCAAGACGCUUGAUAAGAUUUUCAAUGAGUACAUACCUUGACAAGAUUUUGAAAUAGUUCAAAAUGGAACAGUCAAAGAAAGAGUUCUUGCCUGUGCUGCAAGGUGUGAAAUUGAGUAAGACUCAAAGACCGACCACGGUAGAAGAUAGAAAGAGAAUGAAAAGUCAUUCCCUAUGCCUCAGUCAUAGGUUCUAUAAAGUAUGCUAUGCUGUGAACCAGACCUAUUGUAUACCUUGCUCUGAGUUUGACAAAGGAAUACAAUUUUGAUCUAAUAAUAGAUCACUGGACAGCGGUCAAGAAUAUCCUUAGUGAGGACUAAGGAGAUGUUUCUCGAUUAUGGAGGUGAUAAAAGAGUUUGUUGUAAAAAGUUACAUCGGUGCAAACUUUUACACUGAUCCAGAUGACUCUAAGUCUCAAUCUGGAUACAUAUUGAAAGUGAGAGCAAUUAAGCUAGAGUAGCUCCAUGCAGAGCAUUGAAGACAUAGAAUGUUUGCAAAAUACAUACGGCUCUGAAUGUGACAGACCCGUUGAUUAAACUUCUCUCACAAGCAAAACAUGAUCAUACCUUAGUACUCUUUGGGUGUUAAUCACAUAACGAUGUGAACUAGAUUAUUGACUCUAGUAAACCCUUUGGGUGUUGAUCACAUGACGAUGUGAACUAUGGGUAUUAAUCACAUACAGAUGUGAAUAUUAGUGUUAAAUCACAUGGCGAUGUGAACUAGAUUAUUGACUCUAGUGCAAGUGGGAGACUGAAGAAAAUAUGCCCUAGAGGCAAUAAUAAAGUUAUUAUUUAUUUCCUUAUUUCAUGAUAAAUGUUUAUUAUUCAUGCUAGAAUUGUAUUAACCGGAAACAUGAUACAUGUGUGAAUACAUAGACAAACAUAUAGUCACUAGUAUGCCUCUACUUGACUAGCUCAUUAAUCAAAGAUGGUUAUGUUUCCUAACCAUAGACAUGUGUUGUCAUUUGAUUAAUGGGAUCAAAUCAUUAGGAGAAUGAUGUGAUUGACAUGACCCAUUCCGUUAGCCUAGCACUUGAUCGUUUAGUAUGUUGCUAUUGCUUUCUUCAUGACUUAUACAUGUUCCUGUAAUUAUGAGAUUAUGCAACUCCCAUUUACCGGAGGAACACUUUGGGUGCUACCAAACGUCACAACGUAACUAGAUGAUUAUAAAGGAGUACUACAGGUGUCUCCAAAGGUACAUGUUGGGUUGGCGUAUUUCGAGAUUAGGUUUUGUCACUCCGAUUGUCGGAGAGGUAUCUCUGGGCCCUCUCGGUAAUGCACAUCACUAUAAGCCUUGCAAGCAAUGUAGCUAAUGAGUUAGUUACGGAAUGAUGCAUUACGUAACGAGUAAAGAGACUUGCCGGUAACGAGAUUGAACUAGGUAUUGGAUACCGACGAUCGAAUCUCGGGCAAGUAACAUACCGAUGACAAAGGGAGCAACGUAUGUUGUUAUGUGGUUUGACCGAUAAAGAUCUUCGUAAAAUAUGUAGAAGCCAAUAUGGGCAUCCAGGUUCCGCUAUUGGUUAUUGACCAAGAAUAGUUCUAGGUCAUGUCUACAUAGUUCUCAAACCCAUAGGGUCCGCAUGCUUAAGGUUUCGAUGACAGUUAUAUUAUGAGUUUAUGAGUUUUGAUGUACCGAAGGAGUUCGGAGUCCUGGAUGAGAUCGGGGACAUGACGAGGAGUCUCGAAAUGGUCGAGACGUAAAGAUCGAUAUAUUGGACGACUAUAUUCGGAGUUCGGAAAGGUUCCGAGUGAUUAGUACCGGAGAGUUACGGGAAUUCGCCGGGGAGUAUAUGGGCCUUAUUGGGCCAUACGGGAAUAGAGGAGAGAGGCCGAAAGGAAGGAGGCGCGCAGCCCCCCUCUGGUCCGAAUUGGACAAGGGGUGCGGCCCCCCUUUCCUUCCUCCUCUCCCCCUCUUUCCCCCUUUCUCCUACUCCAACAAGGAAGGAGGGAGUCCUACUCCCGGUGGGAGUAGGACUCCCCUUGGCGCGCCCCUCCUAGGCUGGCCGCCCCCUCCCCCCUUGCUCCUUUAUAUACGGGGGCAGGGGGCACCUCUAGGCACAAGAACACAAGUUGAUCUACGGAUCGUUCCUUAGCCGUGUGCGGUGCCCCCCUCCACCAUAUUCCACCUCGGUCAUAUCGUCGCGGAGUUUAGGUGAAGCCCUGCGCCGGUAGAACAUCAUCAUCGUCACCACGCCGUCGUGCUGACGGAACUCAUCCCCGAAGCUUUGCUGGAUCGGAGCCCGGGGAUCGUCAUCGAGCUGAACGUGUGCUGAACUCGGAGUUGCCGUACGUUCGUGCUUGGAUCGGUCGGAUCAUGAAGACGUACGACUACAUCAACCGCGUUGUCAUAACGCUUCCGCUUACGGUCUACGAGGGUACGUGGACAACACUCUCCCCUCUCGUUGCUAUGCCAUCACCAUGAUCUUGCGUGUAUGUAGGAAAUUUUUUGAAAUUACUACGUUCCCCAACAGUACACUCUGAGCACCAUGCCAAAGCAGAUAUCCUUUGGAGAGGUUUCAAACAAAGGCUUGGGACUUCUAUGCCCAUCUUUAAUUUGCUGAACUUAGAAGAUCUUGUUGAAAAAUUUGAUGAUCUUCACUGGCUAGAAGCUCCUUUUACUAAAUCUGAGAUUGAUGCAGUGGUUAAAGAUCUUCCUUCAGAUAAAGCCCCUGGGCCUGAUGGUUUCAACACCAAUUUUGUUAAAGCUUGCUGGGACAUCAUUGCUACUGACUUAUAUCAGUUGAUUGAUAAUUUAUUUAAGGGUGAUGUAGAUUUGCAGAGCAUCAAUUCAUCUUACAUUACUCUGAUUCCCAAAAAAGAUGCUCCUAUUGAGGCUAAUGAUUUCAGGCCUAUUUCACUCCUUAAUUGUUCCAUUAAGAUUAUCACAAAAUUGUUGGCCAACAGAUUGCAAAAAAGUAUUCUGAAACUUGUUCACAGAAAUCAAUAUGGUUUUCUCAAAGAAAGAUCAAUCCAGGAUUGUCUGGCAUGGGCAUAUGAAUAUUUGCAUCAAUGCAAUCAGUCAAGGAGAGAAACUAUCAUUCUCAAGUUAGAUUUUGAAAAGGCUUUUGACAUGAUUGAACAUCAGACUCUAAAAUGCAUAAUGAUGGUCAAAGGUUUUGGUCCCAGAUGGAUGCAUUGGAUGGAGGUGAUUUUUUCUUCUGGUACUUCUGCUGUUCUCCUUAAUGGAGUUCCAGGAAAGAAAUUUUGGUGCAAAAAAGGUGUAAGACAAGGGGACCCAGUCUCUCCUCUAAUUUUUGUCCUGGCUGCUGAUAUUUUACAAUCUAUUUUCAAUGAGGCCAUCAAACACAGAUUGAUUUCCUCUCCUCUGGAUAACACCAAAGAUUUUCCUAUCAUCCAAUAUGUUGAUGAUACUCUUGUUAUUCUGCAAGCUUGUCCAACACAGUUGCAACAAGUCCAAAACUUGUUAUUGCACUUCUCUGCUUUCACUGGCCUAAGGAUCAAAUUUUCAAAGUCUGCUAUGUAUCCAAUCAAUGUGGGACAAGAUAAGCUGACUCAGCUGGCUGCUAUUCUGGGUUGCACUAUUGGCUCUUUUCCUUUUCCUUAUUUGGGCCUACCCCUAGGCACUAAAAAGCCAAAAGUGGAUGAUUUCUUCCCCAUGAUGCAGAGAAUUCAAAGAAGGCUCACUGGUUGAUCUACUUUGCUUUCAAUAGGAGAAAAACUUUCUCUUAUCAAGAGUGUUUUCACCAACCUACCAACUUUCUUCAUGUGCUCAUUGGAACUGCCUGUCACAGUGGUGGAUCAAGUAAAUUCCUACACCAGAGACUGUUUUUGGAGGAAAUAUGGCCAGGAAGGUGUUGGUCCUGCCCUCAUUGCUUGGAACACAGUUUGCAAACCAAAAGAGCAAGGUGGUUUGGUGGUCUUGGACAUAGCUACUCACAACAAAGCUCUUCUUCUGAAAAAACUUCACAAAUUCAUGAAUAAGAUUGAUCUUCCUUGGGUUAACUUGAUUUGGGACACUUACUAUGGGCACAGAGCCCCAACCAACAGACAUGUUGGCUCUUUCUGGUGGAAGUCCAUCAUUAAACUCCUCCCAAUUUACAAAUAUGGCUCUCUGCACUGUAGGGAAAGGUAGCUCAGUGAUGUUCUGGCAUGAUAGAUGGGGCCCUGUUUCCCUCAAACUGCAAUUCCCACAUUUGUUUUCCCUUGCUAAGGAUGAUUUGCUAUCCAUCAAAGAAGCCUCAGACUCCAACACCUUCCAAGAACUUUUUCACCUGCCUAUGUACAAUCUAGCUUUUGCACAGUUUCAUCAAGAAAGAGCUUGUUUAGAGCAAACCAAUCUCAGAGGAAAUGUUGAUCAAUGGAAAUAGAUUUGGAACUCGGCUACCUUUUCUCCUUCAAAAGCCUAUAAUUUUCUCAUCAAAGGGGGGAGGCUCAUCCAGUUUUUAGGAAGAUCUAGUCUGCUGCUAUUAUGUUGAGAUAUAAAAUCUUCUUCUAGUUGUUGUUUCAUGAUCAAGUAAACACAAGAGGACUUCUACAAAGAAAAUCUUUCCAUCUCCCUUCUUAUAAGUGUGAGCUCUAUACUAAUCAAGUAGAAGAAACUACAAUGCACCUAUUUUGGGACUGUUCCUUUGCACUGAGGUGCUGGGACAUAAUUAUUCCACUCAAACAAAGAGACAUGAGUGUGCUUUAUGAGACUUUGUUAGCUCUGAACCAACUUCCAAAGGAGGUCGGCCUGAACAUUAUCAUCAUGGCAUGCUGGAAAAUUUGGAUGCAAAGGAAUGGCAAGAUCUUCAGACAUAUUACUCCCAAUGUCAUGACAUGGAAAGUGCUUCUCAAGAAAGAUUUAGUUCUUCUUCAGCACAAGAUCAAGUUGAAACAUAAGCAAUCCUUUUCACACUAGAUUGAAGCGCGUUUCUAAGCUCUCUGUUUAUACCCAUGAUGUUCCCCAAGAUAGGCAUUGGUUAGCUUAAUUGAUGUUUUUUCCUUUGAUGUACAUAUUACUCUAUUUCUAAUAAUAUAUAAUACCAUAGAAAGAUUGUUCUACGGUCUCUCCCUCAAAAAAAAGUACGUCCUCAUUAGUGGGUGCACACUUCUCGCAUCAAUAUACAGGUUCUGCAAGCCCGCAGUGGCAGUGUUUGGCGCUGAGUACCUGAGAGAGCCAAAUGCCGUUAUUGGCAAUCAAGAUAGAGGCUUUCCGAGAAUUCUUGGUAGCAUAGAUUGUAUGCAUUGAAAGUGGAAGAGCUGCCCAUUUAUUUGGCAGGGGGAGUACAUGGGGCAUGUGAAAGCUUGCAUUGUCAUACUUGAAGCAGUGGCUUCACUGGAUCUUUGGAUUUGGUACUCUUUUUCGGCAUGGUUGUUUCUCACAAGGACAUCAACGUGCUUCAGCGUUCUCUGGUGUUCGCAAGGCUUGCAGAAGGCCACUGCCCGGUAAUCAACUUUGAGAUCAAUGGCCACAACUAGAACAAGGGAUCUACCUAGCUAAUGGUAUCUAUCCUCAGUGGUCAAUUCUUGUGAAGACAAUAUCCAAUCCGGAAGGAGAGAAGAGGCAGAGAUUUGCCCAAGCAAAAGAGAGUGCUAUGGAGAAUGUGGAACACGCUUUUGGUGUGCUUCAAUCUCGAUAGGCUAUCGUUCGAUACCCUGCUAGAACAUGGGACAUCAAGAAGCUUUGGAAGGUGGUGACUGCUUGUGUGAUCAUGCACAACAUGAUCGUGGAGGAUGAGCAUGAUGACAUCAUCUACGACCAAGGGUUUCAAUUUCAGGGCGAAAAUGUUGUGCCUGAGCACCAAGAAUCAGCAAUGUUUGCAUAGUUCAUCCAAUUUCAUCAUGAAAUGCGUGAUUGGCAAACUCACAUUCAACUUCAAAAUGACUUCGUUAAGGACAUGUGAACUCAUCUUGACAACUAGUAGAUGUAUCGGUUCAUUUUCUUUCGAUGUACUUGUGACAAUUUAAAUUUGGUUGUAAAUUUCGUGAUUUUUAUUAGGUUGUAAACUAUUUAUUCUUGUGGUACUAUAUAUUUUAUUUGGCUGUCAACUAUAUGCAAUUUUUUAGUUAGACACAUGCAUUAAAAAAAUGUGUAUUAGCCCGUUGGGUGUACUGCCAACGCAACCACAAAAGCGGUUUGACGUCGUCCCUUUGCCCGAUCUAAACGGACAAAAUUCAAACAAAACAGACAUGGUUUGAUGGUCACCUAUUAGAGUUGGCCUCAUCUUAUUAAGAAGUUGGAAAAUGUGUGCCCUAAUUUGAAAACUUUAAAAAUAUGACCUCGUCGGCCUCACUAAUGCCGAAAAGGCACUCUUCUAUCUCGCUUAAGCUAAAGAGUAGUCUUUGGUCUUGCUUAGGCCGAAAAGGUACUCUUUGCUCUCGCUUAGGCCGAAGAGUGGCUGAAGUGGACCAAAAAUCUCCUUAGUUUUUGCUGGACAGAAGUUGCAUGGCCGUCGGUCGAAACCAGGUCGAAGUGCACUCUUCCACUUUCCCGUGACUGAAGAGUCCUUUCUCUUUUCUUUUCCUCGUCCACCCGGUUGUCUUUCCACCCGUAACCAAUUUAGCAUUCCCGCUCUUUUUCUGAUACUUUUCUUAUUUUUAAAUAUUUAGUUUGCUCGUUCAUAGUAAUAUUAUUCUCGCGUCACAUCGCGUUGUUUCUUCUCUCUCCAUUUGAAUAAUAUUAUAUUAAUGUACAAUGACAUUUUUUCAUAUGGGUUGAACAUUUUCUUCAUAAACUAUGAAUAUUUUUAGUACACGAUGGGCAUAUUUGGGUUACAUGAUUAAACAUUUCUGAAAUGCACAAUGAAUAUAUUUGUAAUACAUGAUAAUGUUUUUCUGAAUAUAGGUUGAACAUUUUCUUAACACGAUAAACAUUUUCAGAUUACAAGAUUAAUUAUCAAAUAUAAGAUGCUCAUUC
This 59315-nucleotide long non-coding RNA is filed under the name Triticum aestivum (bread wheat). Its description in RNAcentral is "long non-coding RNA (TAES_LNC022691)". Lineage: Eukaryota; Viridiplantae; Streptophyta; Magnoliopsida; Poales; Poaceae. The record is from RNAcentral.